AAGAGAAGUAAAACUCACCAUUUCCUCUUAUACCCGAAAUCAUGUAUUCAUCUUUUUUUUUUAUUAGUCUCUCAAUAUUAGCUUGAUUGUUUUGUUAUAAUAUAGCCUAGAUAACCUCAAAACUCUCCCCAAUUGCAUAUCAUCUAGCAUAAAAAUCUGAACUAAACCUUCCUCAUGGGAUUGACCCCUUGCUUGCUCUCUACUAUCUUGUUUAUUUAAGUUAGGGUAAUUAAUUUGUGUGACAACGACAACGCAACACAGAUCAUGGUUCUGAGCACCUUGAGUGUCCAUAGUUGCACUAGAUUCCCCCACAUGUCGUUGUAGUUUCUGUAUAAGAGAAUAUUGUUGAAAUGACAGUCCAUUAAUAAGGUUUUUUAGUUCAUCAAUCUUUAUUUUGUUUCUAGUUCUAGUGUUCUCUAACUUCUAGCCAUACCCUUCCAAUAACAUCAUCACUUGUUCAUAUUUUUUAGUUUGCUCCUUGUUAGCUAAUUCCAAAAAGUAUUCUAGCUUCUUAAGAUCUCGGGACCUCAUGUUUGGUGUCAUUCCCUGAGGCCAAAUAUCUGUUUUGAUACCACUUGGAGCGAGUUGGAUUUUUACAAUACCAAUCUAGAUUUGAUCUAGUAAUAGGUUCAAAGGAAAAUUAAUUAACAUGAGGGGGAAGAAAAAGCAGUUGCUCUCAAGGUCCAGCAAUGGGUAGUGUUCAAAGUAGUUAGCAGGAAAGAGAGGGUUGUUAGGUUUCCUCAUGUCAUCAUUUUUAUUCAUGGGCAAUACCAGAAAAAGUUUGUUACAUAUAUAACUAACAUUUCUUCUAGAAUCAAUUCCCAGAAUAUAUAAGAACAGGGGAAUUAAUUCAUUCUAACCAAAACAUAAAGUAAAAGACUAAACCAAAGAAUUAGUUAUUCUAGUCAAACAGUGUGUAGAAGGAACAAUGAUGAACCCAUCAAUUAAAUGAAACAGUGUGCAUUACUUCUUAGCCAAAUGGUGAGUUUUGAACAACGGUAUAAAGAUAAUGGUUAUUUAAAUCAAAUCUUCUUCUUCACUACUUCAUUUUGCGCUCUUGACAACAUAUCUCUAGAAAAAAUCCAAAAUCAAAACAAUAGUAGAAGCCUUUCCUUCUCAAAGUCAUGUUAUAUCUCUCUGUAACAAUUCCUUAUCUCUUUUUAUUUACUUGUUCUGUCUUGAAAUUGAAAAAAAAGAGUUAAUUUUCUACCCUUUUUUCUAUCUCUUUGUAAUGCUUAUUCUCUUUAGAUUCCCAAGUUCUCUUAGGUUAGUGCUUCUCUCUCUAUAUCUUUUGUAUGUACUUAUAAAUCUGCUAUUUUCCUCAUCUGGGUUAUCUUUUUUUGGCUGUUUCGGUGUUAUUUAGUGACUCAGUGAGUGGAGAUUUGAUUUUAAGAUAGGUGGAUUCAUUUAUUAGGUUGUUUCUAUACGAGUGAGGAAUCAUUAUUGUACAAGUUCUGAGGGUUUUAGAGAAUUUUUUUGAAUUAAUUUAUUAACUAUACUAUUGUCCUGAUUGUUAAAAAGUAGUCCUUAUUUCUAGGAGGUUAAGGUAGAAACAAAUUUAUAUUGUUGAAAUUGUAUGAUUAAGAUGAGUAUUGGCACAUUGUUGGUAUCGUUGGUUUUGCACAUGCUAUGAUUGAAACUAGAAUAAUAUUUUUUUAAUCAUUUUCACGAGUACUCUUAGUUUGGUAUAAAUAAAUUUCUAGCAUUGAUAAUACUUUAAACUAUGGUGGGAAAACGAAAAUCAAGAGUUGAAAUUAAUGUUGAUUUGAUAAAAUGUGGUGUUAGAUGCUGCUUUUUUACUUGAAUUGCUUUUGAUUGGUCUUUUGGUUAAUUGUUUUUUUUCUAUUUGCAAUAAUCAACUCGAUAGAGAAUGAGUUGAUAAUCUGCGUACUCAGCGUUUUACCUAGUUAUGCUCCAUCUUUACUUGACCUCAACUAAAAUUACCAACAGAUAUGGGUUGACACCAGGAGGUUAGGUGGCUGGAUAUAUGAAGGGGUAGUAGAUUUACAAGUUGGUAGUGGAUUUACAAGUUGGUUCUGUUAUAUAUAUAUAUAUAUAUAUAUAUAUAUAUAUAAAAGAGAAAAGAAGAAAUAGGGGGACGGGAUUUCAUUGGCAUUACUGAUAUAUCAAAUAACCGAUAGAAUUGCUGAUGGAGUUUUUAAAGCUAGACUAGUUUUCAAAAAUUACAAACAAAAACAAGAGAUUGACUUUGAUGAAACCUUCUUGUUGAUAGCUCUAUUAAAGUCCAUAAGGAUUUUGCUUGUUAUAAUUGUAUACUAUAAUUAUGAGAUUUGAUAAAUGAACGUCAAAACUAUAUUCCUGAAUGGGAAUCGUCAUGAAGAUGUAUAUAUGACAUAACCUAAAGGUUUUGAAAAGCUAAUGAAUUUGUCAACAAAGUAUACAAGCUAUAAAAAUACAUUAUAUACUUAAGAAAGCUUCAAAGAGUUGUAAUAUAUGUUUUGAUGAAAUUAUCAAAAAGUUUGAUUUCAUAAAAAAUGUGGAUAAACCUUGUGUUAUAUGAGAUAAUCAAACAAUUUGAUUUUAUCAAAAAUCCAUUAUGAACUUAAUCAUGCUUCAAGGUUAGUGGGAAUUGAGUUAUUUUUAUAAUAUUAUAUAUAUAUAUAUAUAUAUAUAUAUAUAUAUAUAUAUAUAUAUAUAUGUUAUUGAUAGGAAUUCGUUCUUCUACUCUCUUCAUGAAGGAUAUAGGAGAAAUAACCUAUAUACUAGGAAUAAAUAUUUAUAGAGAUAAAUCUAAAAGGUUGUUUGGAUUAUCACAAUUCAGAUACAUAGACUAAAUGUUAAAAUAGUUUAGCUUAGAAGAAUUUAAGAAAGGAUAAUUAUCUAUUUUUGCAAAGAAUACGUCUCUUCAAGUAAAUAUGUUCUAAGACUCAAAUUGAAAGAGAGGGUGGAAAGGAUACCCUAUGCUUUGGCUAUAGGAUCCAUAACGUAUGUGAUGUUUUUUUAGCAUAACGAGUAGAUACCAAUUUAACUCAUGUGGGGUUUACUAAAAGAUAGUUCAAAGCAUUCUUAAGUACUUUAAAAAAAUUAAAAAUAUCUUUUUGUUCUAUGAAGAAGAUGAACUAGUAGUUCAUCGUUAUUCAUAUGCUAGUUUUCAAUCAAAUAUUAAUGAUAGUAAAUCCCUAUAAAAAAUAUUUUUACUCUAAAUUGUGGUGGUGUGAGUUGAAAAAGUUCUAAAUAAAAAAUCACAACAGAUUCUACAACUAAAGUUGAAUAUAUCUCUGCAUGUUAUACAGCAAAAUAGGCUAUUUAGAUUAAGAAGUUUAUCACUGAACUAGACGUAGUUUUUAGCAUUGUUGAUCUCGUAAUUUUGCAAAACGGCUCAAUGAAUGCUUUAUUUUAUGCAUGAUUUUUAUUGUAUUAUUAUCAAUUGAAAGAUGCACCACUCAAGCUCUUAUGAAGAAAAUGGAACGAAAGUUUCACAUCAUAUACCACCCUGGCUAUUUUAUUUAGAGUUGCCAUGAUGGUGAUAUCAGUUGCGGGAGAUAUUUGUGUUAGGGGUGCCUAUGGAAACACCAUGUAUGGAAAAGAAACUACAAAUCAGGAGCAAAACCCAAUCCUCCUGGUUGGUCUAAGCGAUAACUGAUUGUACUUUUAUACAAGUAGAUACUGUAUAGUAACUUGCUCCUGUUAGAACACACAUUACCAGGUAGAAUCCGAUUGCUUCCGUUGCUUUGCAGUGCUGAAAGCAACGUUUCUGCCUUUCUUCAUUGAACAACUAGGAGCACCUAGUUCCAAAUGCCAACCCCCUUUACCAUGUCUACCAUUUACAGAAGUCCUGGCAAGCUCAGGCAGGUGUGUACAGGUUAACACGAGCCGUCCAGUUUCACCAGAUUUCCAAUCCAACAGUGUAAAUCAGAUUUGACAAUUAUAUCCUCCGUAUUUACUGCUUCCAGCUUCCAAUGCAUACACUCAAUCUUUCAACAUCCAUGAAAAACUUUUUUCUCAACCAAACUCCUUGUCCUUGGAAUGAUGUAGCUUCGUUGAACUAAAUUUGAUUUGAAAAGGACUGAUGCAUGACAAUAAGGCCAGAACUCUCCACUUCAACCAGUCAAGGCACCAGAAUAACCCUGCUCUGGCACCCAUCUCGUCCGAGGCGACCACCAUCAUCACAAUCGUAUUAAGUGGCGGAAAUAGGCUGCCGAGAAAUGUUAUUGCUAUUUGCAGGAAGAAAAGGUAUCGUUUUAACGAAGCUACAACAGAUAACUAUUAAUAGACCAUACAUAGCAUUUCAUAAUCUACCAAAGCAAAAUUUCAAGUGCUUCACAACCUCUUGUUUCUACAUGAGUUCAACAUGAAUCACUGCAAAGGUGAAGGCGAAAAUCUAAACAGCAAUUCUGAACUGCAAAGUAGCUUUACUCAUAUCAAAGAAAGAAGUCUCCAUUUGGAACCAAAUAAAAUCAGAUCCUUCAAGAUCACAGCCUUCUACCUCUUCUGCCACCCUUUCUACGAGUGCUAUCCGUUGGAAUUGGAGUAACAUCUUCUGAAACAUCAAAACAAGCCAAAAAGAAAAAAUAAUAUUAGUACUUCCAUAUCCCAUAGCUAACAUAUCUGAAAAAUUAACAUGCAAAAACAAAACCCAAGUCAUACACAAAUUGCUACUCUAGGCAACUAGUUCACUCUAGAAAUUGAAAAACAACAAAAACCAUAAGUUCAAUUAACUAAAAGGUUAAUUGAGGGGGAAUCUGAAGGAGAAAAGGAAAUCUUAUAGUAAAGAAGCCUUCAUUUAAAGCAAGCAGCUUAUAAAUUGAAAUGUAAAACAUUGGUAUAGGAGACAUGCACAAGGGCCAAAAUCCACCAGAGAAAUUUAUCAGAGAAAGUGAUUUGCCAAUAAGCACAGCCUCCAACACAAUCUAGGUGGAUGGACCAAUAAACCCAGGAUUUGCAACAAAAUCAACCGAAGAGGAACAAAACUGAUUGAUACAUUUAUAGAUAAUCUUGCACAAUUCAAAGUCAAACACAGGAAAAAGGACUUGCCUAUGCGGCCAAUUCUCAUUCCAGAACGGGCAAGGGCACGCAGGGCAGACUGUGCACCUGGACCAGGUGUCUUUGUCUUGUUCCCACCAGUAGCACGAAGCUUAAUAUGAAGGGCAGUGAUACCGAGUUCCUGCUUGAUAGGAAUGAAAAACUGGAUAGGUAAUUUUGCAGUUCUACAUAUGAUGCUUCACUAUUUAAAAAAUUCUAAUGCUAAAUAAAAUUGUUCGAUUGUGCAAGUUAACAAGGAUAGUGUCAGAUUUGAAUAUCUCAAAAGGAAAUAAAGCCAAAAGGUUUUCCAUAAAUCACCACUUAAGUGAUUGAUGGCAGGCUCCAAAAUGAGAUCAUGUAUUUAAUAUUUAAAUGAAAACAAAGUGAAGUGCUUCCCAGCUUUAUGUUAAGACUGGAUACAAACUGUAAUUACUCAAGCAAUUACAAAUGGCAUCUCAAAUUCUGGGCCACUCAUGUAAUAUACAGAAAGGGCACUGCUAAACCAAUAAGAUACUAGCCUCGAGUGCCUCUUGACACUGUUGAGGCAGUUUCCUAGGCACUAAAAGUCACCUCAAAGUUAGGGCACUGCAAGAUUGUACAGCUUCCGAUUCAAUGGCAUCUUCUCUUAUGAUCUUUCUAGUUAGCGCAUAGUGGCUUAAUUCGUAUUCAAUGAGAAAAAUCAGUCAUUCAAAACCACUGAUGAAGUAUUUCUUGAAUUAAGUACGGUAGAAAAGCGAGGUAAAGAGAACCUCAAGGCUGCUAGCAAGGGUUAAGGAGAGGCUCUCUCGAUAAGAGCCUUUUCUUAACCUCUCCUUAUGCCUUAUUUCUGAGGUUAUGAGUCUCUUUUCCCUGCAGCUAAACAACGGUAAGAGAGGCAAACCUCUCUCAUUGCGUAUGUAGCUAAGCUCCCGAAGGACUUCUUUCUAUGCCGCUAAUGUAGCUAAUCUGCAUUCUCACUAAUAGCUUACCAUCACAUAAGCAAUAGGUGAAGCACCAAGCUUGGUUUUGGCUACAGGAGUCCAUAUACCAAAAAUGAAAGCAAUCUCCUCUAACCUAUAAUGAAUACAUUAUAAGAACAACAUUUUUUACAAAAGAUUAAGACCUUGCAUCUCUGUGAAACAUCUUGUGCAGCAAGCAUGGCAGCAUAUGGUGAAGAUUCAUCUCUAUCAGCUUUCACCUUCAUUCCACCUGUAACAAAAUGAUUAUCAACUUUGUUAUCCAUACAAUUAGAGUUUAUUGAUUCAUGUGCAUGCAUGUAUUUCUCAAAACCUAUAAGGAAUAAAGCCAUACUUAUCAAACAUACACAAAGCCACAACUCUGUACAAAAGAAAACAUAAAAGUAGCAGAUCAAGCUACAAGCAUCACUCGCACAUACCUACAUCAAUUUUAACUACCCUACACUUGCACAAUAUACAGCAUCUCAUAUAGGUGGAACUCCUGAUAAUUAAUAUAAGAAAAGGCAUCACUUACCAGUUAUGCGGACAAGGGUUUCUCUUCCAGAGAGAUCAGUCACAUGCUGCAGUUGAAACAAUCAAUCAAAGUAAAUAACAAAACUGAACAUCAAGUAAUGCCACUCGACAAGGUAUCAAGAAACCUCUGUUACUCACAAUGAAUGUGUCAUUAAAAGAUGCGAAGAUGUGAGCAACCCCAAAAGCAUGCUCCCCUUCCCUCACGGUGGGUCCAAGGGUCACAUUUUCUUCCUUUGGUUCUCUAGUCCUUCUCUUUGACUACAAAAUCCCUCAUACCAUAACAUAAAAAGCCAAGUACAUUAAAAUUCAAGACAUCUUCCAAAUGCUAAGCAAAGCUUACUGUCUGUCUAAACAAACCACAGCAAUUAACAUACUGUAAUGUUCCAACAUCAGACCAUAAUGCAAAAAAAAAAAAAAAAACCAUAACUGCAAACUUCUUUAGAAUAACACAACAUGCCGAAAUAUAUUCAACUCUGCCCACUUAAUAAAACAGGCUGUUAAUUAACCAACAUCAUACAUUUUUCUCAAUUUUUUCUUCCCAGGAUAAGUUUUAAGUAAAAAAAAAAAAACGUUAGUCGUUCAAAUUCUCCCUCACCAAGGUUCAAUCUUUAAACUCCUAAAAGCAAACAAAAUCAAUAAUUACAUGCUACUUGACAGUGAUUCUACAACAAAAGGGGUAUCGUAAAAUUUGAGUUCCUCAACAAAAUAAAUCUCUCAAAUCAAGAUAACUAAAUACCCUGAUCUUUUCAUAAAUCAAUGUGCGGAUCAAUGGUUAACAAGAACAGUACUAUCUGAACAUCAUAAAACGAAUCAAGGAAAAAGAAGGAUCGGCUUACCAUGGCUGCGAAGAAGUGAGAUUGAGAUUGGUUUCUGCGGAGGCUGUGUUUGGUGAAAUGCGAAAAGAAAGAACCUAUAGUGAAUCGGCUGCGAUUAUAUGAGACGUGGACGGGUUAGGGUAUGACUCCUGCGUGAGACUGUUUUAAGUUUUGGAGUUUCCAUUGAAGCCCUAUAAUUUUAGGUUGAUAGUAAAAGGGGUACCUAUGAAUCGUCUUAUAUCUUUUGUUGUCAUGCUGCUCUCUAUUUUUCUUAUUUUACUAGAAAAGGUACAAAAAUAUUCCCUUAAAAGUUGAGAUGCGCCAAAAAAAAAAAAAUAAACAACCGAUUAAAUCAAAAAAAUAAAAAAAAAAUAACUAGAAGAAUCAAACAAAAAAAACCGAAUUAAUUAAUUAAAAAAUCACAAAAAAAUUCCAGUUUGGUUUGAUUUCGAUUUUUAAAGUCUGAAAUUGAUUGAAUGGAACCGGUUCAACUAGGCCAGUACUUAAAAAAAAAACAAGUAUAAAUAGGAUUUUUUUUUCUAACCCUAACCCUAAAUUAGUAUUCCCUAAAAACAAAAUUAAUCGUCGCCCCUCCCUUUACUCUUUGCGUCUCUCUUCUCUCUGAUUUUCCUCUAUAAUCCACGGUCCAUAAUUGUUAAACUCUGCUCUAUGCUCCUCAAUCUUUCAAUCAAAGGCAUGCCCCUCUUUACUUUUGCUUUUAAUAUUUUUAUCCUUUUUCUUUCUAUUUCUCACAUAAUCUUGUAAUUGUUAUAUAAUUUUUCAUGCUUAUGUAACCGAAAAAGAUUAUAAUGUUGAACCAGUAAAAGGUUUUUUUGUGCUUUCCUUGAUAUUGAUCUUGUAAGGACAACAAUUGGGAAUCAGGUUUGGUUAUUUAUUGAAGAGACCGAGUAUAAAAACAUCAAACACUCAAUCAAUGAUGAGGAUUUAUGUAAACGAUUUGUAAUUGGUUUCCUCUCGUUCAAAUAAUAAUGUUUUGAUGGUUUUACAUUUCAAUAAUAGAUAUCUUUUGAUCUUCCCUUUGUUUUUUGUUUUUUUUUCCGGUCAAAUGACUUCUUUUCUUUCCCAUAAAGUUUAAUUUUUGGGCAAGAAUCUAAUAAAAAGAAAAUUAGGGUUGGAUUCUGGAUAUCAUACAUGCUUAACCGAUUUAAGAAAGAGUCAUGCUUGUUAAGAAAGCCAAUAUUUCUCAUAAAAUAGGCACAAAGCUGUGAAAAUAGAAAUAAGAUGAAAAUAUAAUCCCUAAAAAAAAUAACUAGUGAAAAAACCCCGAAAACAACAGAAACAAGAUGAAAAUAGAAUCUCUGAAAAAUAUGGCUAGUGAAAAAAACCUAGAAAAAAGCUCAAUUGAAAUAAUUUUGGUUUAAACUGGUUUGAAAGGGAAAACCCGAACCAAACAUGGUUGGUUCGAACGUGUUUUCAGUUCGGUUCGAUUCAAAAACUUGAAAAAAUUAAUUUCAUUUUGGUUAUUUAUUUUGACUCAAAACCGAAUCAAACUGAAAAUGUUCACCCCUACUUAAAAGUUAGAAAGAAAGAAAAAGCUUUGUGAAUACGAUGUCGCGCUACACCGUGGAUGCAUGUUUUUCUUUGCAUAUAAAAUAAUGUCUUAAGUACAAGAAGCGUGUUUUAUAAAUUUGUUUUCUUUUAAUUAUAUAUUUAAAAAAAUGAAAAUGAUGGUGAAAAGACAAAAUUUCUAUUGACAAAAAACCAUAAUAAUUUAGAAAAAAAACUUUUGAAGGUAUAUAAUUGGAUAAAAAAGAGAUAAAAAAAAACUCGGCUCAAGUCAAUCCAAAGCAGCGUGAUAGAUAUUUAACUUGGAUAAUAAGGGUGAGCCAACUCAGGUUAACCCACAAAAUUCGUGACUCAGGUUAUAAAAUUAGGAUAACCUAAUAGAAAAGAAGUUGAAGAAAACCAAAAAACUAAUUUUUUUAUUAAAAAAAUAAUGUCGAACAAUAAAAUCCAAAAAGAAAAGAAGUCAUAAAAAAAGGAUGUUGACCUGCAUUAACUUUCCAAACUCAUGGCUCAGGUCAUUAGACCGAAAGUACCAUAUAAAAAAAACUAUAAAAAACAAUCCCUAACAAAUCAAAUGUUAAAAGAUGAAAUCGGGAAAAAAUCAAGUACACAAAAGGAUUUAAAAUAAAAAUUAACAAUUAAAAGAAUAAGAGUGAAAAUAAAAAUAAAAAAUAAAUUAGAGGGCAAUAAAAAAAAAUUAUUAGAAGGUUAAAUUGAAAAGAAAAAAAUAACAAAAAAAAUCAAAAGAAAGAUGACCAAAUUAAAAACAAUACACCAUAAACUUGGAUUGAAAGAUGAAAUUAAAAACCAUCAAAACUUUUACAAAAGAACCAAAGAAAAAAAAUACAAAUUGAAAGAAUAAGGACCAAAUUGAAUAAAACUAUAUAUCAAAAAUUAUAAUUGAAAGAUUAAAUUGAAAAUAAAUGAAACUUUAACAAAAGGAUCAAGGAAAAAAAUUAAAAAACAAAAGAAUAAGGUUAAAAUUAAAAUAUCAAGAACAAAAAGGACUAGCUUGUAUUUUUUAGGAUAGGAGAGAGAGAGAGAAAAAAAAGGUCAACCGGCAACAAACCACCACAUUGUCACAUCAGGAAGAAAAGGAUGCAUCGACACAUCUAACGGCACAACAAAAGAGCAUUUUCUUCCAUUGAGAGGUGCUGCUCAUGCUAUCCAAAAUACGUAAGUGCCUCCCACACAUCGACGCAUACGUUGCACAUGCCACCAACUUUUUGAAAAUAAUUAACAUUCAAUCGAUGUCAAAAGACAAGAAUACCUUUUAACACCUUGAUAAUUACAAAAAAAAAAAUGAAGGAAAAGACCAAAAGGCUUAUGAACCUAUGAUUUUAUUUUUUUAACCCAAAGGCAUAUUUGUCAAUUUAUUGUACAUGGUUAAAAGAAAAGAUAUUUCUACCCUUUUUCACCAAUUUUAUAAUCUUAUGAUUCUAGGGACAAUUAGAUCAUUUUAUUGUGCUUAAAAACAUGAAAAAUACAAUUAUACCCCUGAAUAAUCCUUUAAUAAUUAAUGCACCGUAUGAAAAGACCAAAGCACCCUCAACACAAAAACAAUUGGGUUUUUUAGGAAUGGUGAAAGUCAUUUUACUAUUGUAGUGAAUUGUACACUGAGUUUAGGUGCACAAUACGGGUCCAUAAUAUUUUUGCCUUAAGCUUUAGUUUUUAUAUUUAACAAGAUAUAUAGGACUUGGUCAUUUCACUGUAGCAGUAGAAAUUGAUUAUUGUGGAUUGCUACAAUGAAAUGACUAUUUUUCCCUUGAGUGAAAAAAAAAAUAUGAGCCUUAGUUGUGGGGUGCUUUAGUCUUUUUCAAUGGCUCAAUGAUCAUUAAAAGAUUGUUCGGGGGUAUCUAAGUCUUUUUCAGUUUUCUUGCAUAAAAAUAUGUUUUUACACCCGAAGUCCAUAAAAUUUAAAGCUAUUGAUCAAUGGUUGUUUUGACUUUUUAUAAACUUUUAAAUGGUAAAAAUACUUCUUUGCUUCCGUGGUAAAAAAAGGCUGGGUUGUUAGACAAGGGUUUACUGGCUCGAUUGACCUGUCUAAACGUGGUCUCAAUUCGAUCAAGUUAACACUAAGAAUUUUUUUUCUUCAAAAAGAAACAAAAUAACAUCGUUUUGAUAAAAAAAAAUAAUUUAUCCAAAUUGAUUUGAUAACCUAUUAAUUGACUUGACAACCUAAUAAUCGAGUCUUUUUUUGGGUCAGACCUCCUAACAACUAUGGUUUUUUAUGAGUUUGAUCGAUAUUUAACCAAGUCAAUAGCAAAAUGAUCCACACCUUAAGUGAGGACUAGUCUCAUAUUAUUAGGUGUGAUUGUUACAUGUUACUUGUUUUUUAUGUUUAUUUACUAAUAAGAAAAUAAGUCAAAUAAAAGAUUUUAUAGCCAAUUUAAAGUUUAAGGAAUAAAAGGCAUAAAAUAUUUUAUAGUAGAGAAAGCACAAAAAAAUAUAGUUUCAAUUAUAUAUAUAUAUAAAAAAAAACACUAAAACAUAAUGUUCUUUUACUAUGUAAGCAUUGUUUCCCUUCUCACAAAAUCAUUUUGGAUGGCAUUGCUAAUUCUAUAUUGACUAUUUUUUAUUUCUGUCCAUGAAUUUUAUUUAUUUGCUAUUAUAUCCUUGCAAUUGAUUUUGGCAUCGAUUUAUAUGUUAGGAUAAUUAGUUAAUCUCUUGAUUCUAGCAAUCUGAUUCAUUCUCACUUGAUAGGGUAAAUGGUAGUCGGUGCUUGAUACUUGUAAGAAGUCCUAUUUUGUGGAUUUGGGGACUCUUUAAUGCUUGAGUAAGUAUUUUUUGAGAAAACAUUUAUUGAUAUUUUAGAGAGAGACUCUAAAAUAAAUAUGUCAUGUAGAAUAAAGAUUCAGGAAGUACCUUCUAAUGAUCUAAUAGGUCUUUAUAUCCCAUCUUUCUUAUCUUUUUAUUGUGGGAAGGACUAAAAGGUUCCAUUUUUUUUUUAUAGAUUUCAAUCCUCUUAUGUCAAAGAGAGAAAAUAUCUCUAACUCGUUAGAGGAGAAAAUAUCUCUGAACUUAUUAGAGGAAAAAUUUUUUUUGACUUUAUCAAAGAGAAAAUAUCACUAACUUUAUUAGAGAGAAAAUAUCUUUAUAUGUGUGUGGACUUAGCGCUUAACUGAGCCCAUAGAUAUCGGGUCUGGCAGUUCAUCAAACUUGUAUAUUUUUGGGCACAACGCUUAGCUGAACUCAAAGAUGAUAGGUCUGACAGUUUUCUAGACCCGUAUAUGAUUGAGCUUAACACUUAGUUAAACCUAGGGAUGAUAGGUUUGACAGUUCUCUAGACUCGUAUAUGCUUAGGCUCAGUGAUUGGUUGAACUCAAGAAUAUUAAGUUAUAACCCAGCCUUUGGUUUCUUUAAAUGAGGAUCCAAGAAAAAAAAAGUAGAAAAAAAAACAUGUUGAUCCAUAAAUUAUACAUAAAUUCUUAAGGUGUUCUUGUAUCCUCUAUACAUGCCUUGGAUUCACAACUUAAUGGCCUUUUUUUCAUCAAAGAUUUCCUAGACAUCUAGAGAUGGUUUCAAACCAUUCGAUAUAUUCUAGCAAACCCUUUUUAUAUCCUUGACAUUCUUACUCUAGUUCAAAGAUUUCCAUCAUCUAAUAGAUGAAGAAAUACUUCUAAGCAAAUAGCCUGCAUAUACUUACCUAUAUAUGCAUAAAGAUAUGUGUCAUUCACAUACUAGGUGUAUGUUUUCUUAGUUAGUGACUAUGAAAAAUUCUUUCAAGUUCAAAUCAUCAUCUAAGCCAUAAACAUCUAGGGUCUCUCUAUAACCUUUAUAAGAUAUUAUGUGACAUCCUCUUAUUUUCUAUUAGAAAUAUUAUAUUUAGAUUUAACUUAGUUUUUUUUUUGAUAAAUCUGCUAGUAGAUUUUGCUAGCUUUUACUUAAAUAACAUUUUAAAAUCUCUUUAGUGAGAUAGUGAUGUUGAUCACCAAAAAUACUUAUAAUGAUUUAUUUUGUGUUCAUAGCAUGGUGGGUGUUUAAUGGUUGGAUGUUUCCCCUAUCAUUUAUUUGAACAAGUGGUAUAAGCAUCCUCAACAGGCAUCAUUAUUUAAAGGAUAAUGGUUUUAGAUAGUUUUGUCAUAAGAAGUAGUUGAGUGAUUCUAUUGAGAACUUGGAUGAAUAUAGGAUUUUUAUUAUUGGGGACUUCAAGGUUUAUUGUUGAUCUUAUUGUAUAUUAACAUGAGUUUCUUGAAAGAUUUGUAGGAUAUUAAUCAUGACCGAAAGACCUGGAUAUAAGGUUGUUAUGGAAUAAACAUAAUCACGGGGUCAAGGCAGGCCAUCUCUUAAGGUGUUGGCAAGCUACCACUUUCAUUUUAGAAAAUUUAUUUGUUAUUAUUACCCUUAACAUUGACAAGGUUAGUGUUGUCUACAUUCUUAUUAGGAUCAAGUAAAGUCACAUCACCAUUUUGUAUGGAUAUGUUGAUUGUAGAAUUAUCAUUUUUCUUGGUGGCCAUGGAAAGAAGCAUUGUUUUUUCACAAUCACUAAUUCCCUAGUGGAGUCCCCAAAAUGUGUGUGAGGAUUGUUGAGAUACUAAGAACUAGUGUUGUAACUUAUAGAGCAAUAAUACAUCAACUAAGAAAGUGUAAGUAAGUGGAAGAUCGUGAAUAGAAAAGGUUCAAAUAGAUUAAACCUUAAAAGUUGUGUGUUGUGAGAUCUUAGAAAGAGUUUUAAUUAGCAAAAAAAAUCAUAAAAUCAAUAAAAAAUCAAAAGAUCCAAAAUAAAAAGAUCUCCUCACAAUGUUUUGAGGUUGGUACUUAUAAUGAAAAGAGGAUGUUCUUGACCACUAAAUCAUAUCACAUCAUCUAUUUAUGAAUGGUCAAAUUUGAACAUAUAAAAGAAAACGAGUCAUUUUGGGCUAAACUCCUUUAACUUUAUAGAAAAGGCUAAUGCCCCGUUUGUUUCAUGGAAAGUGGUUUUCUGGAAAUUAUUUUUUAAAUUUCCUGUGUUUGUUUGUCAUUAUAAAAGUUGGUCGACGGAAAACAUUUUCCAAUCAAAGAAAAAUUUGCCUUGAUUUUCAGGAAAGUGUUUUCCUUUUAUUUUGGGUGAAAACCACUUUCCAGAAGUUGUGAAAAUUUAAAAAUGUCAUGUUAUUUGCUGAUUAUAUCAAAUUUGGUCCUCAAACUUUUGAUUGCUAUAUAUUUUGUUUUGAAUUUUUUUUUCAAUUUCAUCCCUUAAAAUUUGAUUUAAUUUAAUUUUUAUAUCAACUUUGAUCCUUAUUUUUAUGAUUGUUAAUUGCUUUUCUAUUAUCAUUUUCUUAAUUGAAAUUUUUUAUCUAUCAAAUUUGAUUCUCAUUCUUUUGAUUUUUAUUUAUUUUAUUUGAAAUAAUUUAUAAAAUUAUAAUUUUUUUUAUUUUAUCAUCUUUCAAUUUUUUUAUAUGUUAGAUUUGAUCUCUAUUAUUUUAAUUGUUAUUUAUUUUAUUUGAGAUAAUUUAUGAAAUUAGAUUUUUUUUUAAUUUUAUUCUCAUUCAACUUUUUAAUUUAUAAAAUCUGUUCCUCGUUAUUUUAAUAAACUUGAAAAAAAUAUUAAUAAUUUAUUUUCCAGCUCAUUUUCCUUAACAUAGCUAAACACUGGAAAAUAUUUUCCAAUUUAUUUUUCAUGAUACCACCAAACAUCGAAAAAUAAUUUACUUUUCAUGAAUUAAUUUUUUAAAAAAACUACAUUUCAAAAAAAAAAUUAUUUUUCAACAAACAAAUAAAAAAUAAAAUCAACUUUGUUUUAGCCAACUAUGCUUAGAGCCCACCAAGUCAAUCAGGAUAAUACAUCUAAAAAACAAGACAUGGACAGUAGUCCUACCACAAUACAUGUGCCCAUCCUUGCGCUACUUGAACCCUAUGCUUGGCAAAGCCAUCUCCUAUUCAUCUGGUGUGCAACUUAGAUAAAUGCCGAACCAGAAAAAAAAAAAAAAAAAACUCUUGAAUUAGUUCAUAAUAAAUUAAUUAAAUUUUUUAAAUUUUGGGGACAAAUCAAAUAUAUAAAAACCAAAAUAAAAUUUCUAAAAAACAGCAUUUAAAAUUUUUUCAAAGCAAAUCAAAUCUACAAAAUGUUCCCACAAAAUACUGACACGUUGAACGAUAAAGUGAUAACAUGUGGAUCCUACAAAUGCAGAUAAUUGGUUAAAUGCGCUGUUUAUUUUCGCAGCCCAAGAAUAAUUUUUUAAAAAAUUGAAUUUUUAAUUAAAAUUAAAAUUUUUAUAAUUUUAGAUCGUUAUAAAGUUUUAAUAUUAGAAAUAAAAUAACAGAAAAAAUUAUUUUAACAUAUUAAAAAAAAACUUUAAAAAAUAAUGUAAAAUAUACCCAUCUAUAUUCCAUACACCCAUCUCAAGACUCAAUAUCACUGUUGCGAUAUUAUCAGCUCCCAUCUCUCUCAUGUAGUUUUAUUUUGGUCUUAGAGCUCGUAAUCUACUUGCAAUUACAGGGUCCAAGGCGCCAAGCACGAAUCCAAAUCAUUUGUCUUGAGAAAAUUCUCCUCGGCUACAUUCCCCAGCUAGAUCACAGAAUCGACACAAGUUAGGAUUUUUCUCUUCAUCCUUAAAGUUAUUUAUAAUUGCGAAAAAACGGCACCAAACUACUAAUUGAAUGGUUAUAUGUUCUUAGAUAAGCUGCUGCAGAUUGACUCGCAAAUUUGGGAUUACCAGAGAGGACCACCAUUUUCACAUCCUCCACUACAUGGGGAUCGCCACCCUCCACCAGGAUGUUUAUGUACAGCUUAUCUAAACAUAAUGCAGGAGAAAAGAUGGAAUAUUUCCCAACAUCAAAAGAAGCUUAAUGAUUUCUGUUAACAAACAAACAAAUCAAACCCGCCCGCUGCCGCUGCCGCUGCAGCUGAAGUGACAGGCGUUAGAAGGAAGAAAAAAAAUAUUACACGUAUUGGCCCCAAAGAUAUGGUCUGGACUAACACCCUACAGUUAAAGAGAAAUGUCCAAUCCUGACUCAAUGUGCCUCGAGAUCUACUACAUCUCUACCUGAUUCUCUAAAUCAUAUUUACAAAAAGCUUCGGUUUAAAGGGAAGAACUCCAAAAGAAGAAGAAAAAAAGCAUUUGGAAAAUUAAAACCUAGCGCACUAACUGCAAAAGUGAUAAGAAGAAAUGAGCAAAAAUGCUUCAGAAACUAUGCAGAUAUUAGACCUACAUACCCAGCAAACAGAGCCAGCACUCCAGAUAUAACAUAAGCCCCAGCAACAAUGACUGGUUCCUUUAGCCCACAUAACUCGAGGUGGUGAUGAAUAGGAGCCAUCCUGAACAAACGGCACCCAUCUCCUCUCAUGCGUUUGGUUGUCUUGAAGUACAGCACCUAAUGUAGGUAAUGGUUAGAUUGGGAUAAUCACUUUCAAAUUAACAAAACCAUCACCGUUCAUUUCAUAGGUCCAGCAGCUGCACACGAAUCAAAAACAGAAUUUCUUCGUUGUAGCAGCAUCACGUGAAAACAAAAGUAGGAGGAAAAUUUACAAUGAAGUAUACUGCAACCUAUCCAUUUAAGCUCUUUUACUCCUCUUGCAUUGUAUCUAAUAGAUGACAGCAAAGAAUACAAGGUACAGGUGCAUCAGCAAAAUACUGGAAGUUGCUAAAGAAGAACUAAAUCAAAGUUGGCAAUGCACAGGAAAAAAUACUUCCCAGAGAAUUAUAAUCCAUGGAAACAUCAUCAAAAGAACUUGAAGGCAAUAUCAUCACAAAUAUAUGUGGCUUGGACAAAAAUAAAAUACAACUAAUUAAGACAGAAUUAAAAGUUUAACAUAGCAUGAUUUUUGGUUUAUCAACACAGCAGAGCACAAGAGCUCUAUGACUUGGUUUAUAAUUUGACAAGAAAGUACUGAUCUAGAAGUAUGCCUCUGAAAAUGUUCACUAGAAAUCCACGAAGCUAGUAGGAUACCAAUCACCAUUUGGGAGGAUUGGUAGUGACCACCUGCUUUAAGCAAGUGGCUAGGGUUCAAGACCUCAGACCUUACCCUACUCCUUCCCUUGCAAGACCAAAAAAACAAAGUAGAAAUAUAGGAUCUACAAAACUAUUUACUCCAAGAAUGAGGUCUUCUGUCGAUCCAUCUCAAACUUGCAGCAACAUCGUGUUUCUAUCUCCUUUUUAUAGUUCCUGAAGCCUGAUUGAUAUUCCACUACCAACUUUACAGAAUCAUUUACGUGUUUUAUAAGAUCAGAUAUAAGCAGGCAUAACUUACAAGGUAAAAAAUACACUGUAGGAGAGGACACAAGAAAUUGACAUCAAUGACAAUAAUUACAGAAUGCACUAGGUCAUGGAACGCAGAAUGAAAGCACAUGACUACAUAGGCAUAUAAUAAAUAAUAGCACUGAUCAUGUGUAGAGAAAAAUAAUUGACAUCAAUGAUAAUAAUUACAGAAUGCACUAUGUCAUGGAUCGCAGAAUGAAAGCACAUGACUAGGCAUAUAAUAAAUAGUAGCACUGAUCAUGUGUAGAGAAAAAUUCUUCCCGAGAAAGAAGAAAUUGUGUUUUGUUCUAAACAAAGAAAACACAUAGCACUAAUCAUGUGUCGAGAAACAUUCUUACCAGGAACAAAGAAAGUGUAUUUUGUUUGAAAUGAGGAAAAGAAAACAUUGUCAAAUUCGGAACACCAGAUUUGCCUACAUUUCUUGAUUAGAACUUCCUUGUGUUGUCAUGGUAAAGGGACAAUUUUCUAUCAUUGAUAGAUUAUAUAUCAGUGUCAACAUUUAUGUAUACCUGCAUAAUCACUGAUGAUGCAUCCAAGAAAAAGAUCCCAGAUGAGAUAAAUAAUGGAAGGAACAUUCCACUACAAGCAGCCAUUGCAGCUAAUGCUCCACCCAAUGCCAAGGAUCCAGUAUCCCCCAUAAAUACAGAAGCCUUGUACCGGUUGUGCAACAGAAAACCAAAACAGGCCCCUGCCAUCGAUGCCCCAAAUAUAGCAAGUUCUGAUUUGGAAUGUAAAACAAGAAUUAAUACAAAUAAGUUUACAGAAAAGGGUAAGAUCUCAAAACAAUGAAUUAAUAGUUCCAACAUAACAUUUUGAAGAUCAUACUCCUUCCCAACAUUCAAUUGCACACCUAGGCAGCACAUCAUUGCUCAUGAUGGAUGUCAUAAGCCAUCCACUUUGUCAAAUUCCUCGAGGGGCUCAAAUGGAAAAGGUUUAAAAAUAUGGUACAAAAGUUAACAAGCAUAUUGACUUGUUCAUUUAGCUCUAAAUGAUCUGAUGGACUAUUGGUGUUGGCAUGCAAUUGCAUUUUGCAGUAGUUAGUAAAAUAUAAAGAAGAAAUCUGCUUCUAUAUAUAACUACGAGUUGACGAGCUAAUUUUCUCGCUAUGGUAUCAAAUGAAUUCACACACAUUUGUCAAGUGAUUGCUUCAUAAGACACUAACUUGACGCUGUUCAUCUUUUCAUGGUAAGAUACAAGGGUUGAACAAAAUUAGGCGAUUACAAAGAUUCCCUCCAACUUACAUGUGAUAUUUAUCAUGCCUGCCUAAUAAUGUAAACUGCCUCUGCAAAAUGCAGGCGGGGCCAUAAUUGACUUCGAAUUACAAAGAACAAUGUUAAUUUUUCUGAAUCUACCGAUGGAAUUAGUGUGAGACCCACUCAUCCAAUGCUCCAACUUUUCUGGGGAACUGACUCUACAACUAGACUUAGGUAAAAUUAGCAUUUUUAAUUACUAAUGGUGGGCUAACCCAUAAACUCAUCUCUCAUCAACAGUCUCACUGAUUCUUCAACAUACAAAAUAGCCAUAAAUCUGGUUUCCCCUACAACAAAAAUCAGAAAUUCUUGAAGAGGAAAUGCAAUAUCAAAGGCUGACUAGAUUAGGAUUCUAUCCAGCAUGCUUUGGGCUUUCUACAGCGAUUUUAUAUCCAAUUGCUUGGGCUUACAGCAUAUAAAAGGAAAAGAAGAAGAAAAAGAAGAAACUGAAUUCCAGAACAGGUGUAAUGUUUAUAGUUCCCAUUGCUUAGCAAAUUUCCCUUUCCUGUUUUAACUUCUUAACAGGAAUAACGUUUAUCAAAUGUCACUUUCCAGAUCUUUAGAGGAAACUUCCCAAACCUUCUGGAUUUUCAAUUAUACUGAGGCUUAAGUUCAUUAACAUCCAUACUAACCAGGACAUAUUGGCAACACUGCGAUCGACAUUCCUACAAAAGCCAAUGCAGCCGUUCCAGCAGCCAGGCCGUCUAGACCAUCCGUUAAGUUAAUGCCAUUUCCCAUGGAAACAAAACAAAAUGAUGUCAAUAAAGAAUAAUAUUUUCCUAGGCAUAUGAGGCCCAGUGGUGCAGGUAGGGCAACCAGCAUUUUCCUGUAGUACAAGACAUCAAUGGAUGAGAAAAGAAAAAUGUUGAGAAUAUUUCAAACAAGCUAACUUGACACUAAUAAUUAAUAUGUUGAAAUUCUACCAUUAUCACAUAUUAUAUCAUUAAGUGAUUAACAUGAGAUGACAUAUCAAUUCAACCAAGUUUUUCCACAGUAGUUAAUACCAUCGAAAAACUUCAAAGAUACAGAACUAAAACAUUCCAAUAUAUGCUUUUAGAAAAUUCAUGAUAAACUUCAAAAAUAAAUUUAAUAUAUGUUUUUACAAAUCUUUUAAAAGAACUUCAAUAGAAACCAAACUAGAAUUUCAAUUUUGUGGCAGAGUAGAUGUAGCAACUUGGAACAAUCAAAAUUUACGUUGCUAGACAAUUAUAAAUUUCCUGCAUUGAAUGCCCAAUGGCCUUUCAAUCUUGAAUAGCAAACAAAAUGGAAGUAAUUAAGUUGCUCCUUACUGUACUAAUAUAGAAUAUUAUAGUGGCAUUAGAAACUCUAUAAUUUGCUAAAAAUGAAACCGUAAGAACUACCUAAUCUUUAUUCAUUUAUUUUAUUUGAGUCAGGAACAAUAUUUCUACUUCAAAACAGGUAGCAUUACAAUUGGUAUCUGAUCACAGAAUCUCUAAUUACAGCAUAAAAUGUUAAUUAAUCACAAAAAAAGCUGCAUCCUCCCUUAAACUUUUCAUCACAAGAUUAGAUAUGUGAGUUACCAUCAUAAAAAUGUUGAUCAAAUUAGUAAUAAGAAUUUAUACAUGCUGUAGGGUGAUGAUAUACUCGUAGUAUGCAACCAAAAUGAAAAGCAGGUCCCAACAGCUACCUGAAAAAUACAUGAGCAGUUAUCUCUUGCAAGAAUGUUAUCAAAUUUAACAUUGGAAGCAAUUAACUAAAUAACUUUUACCUCCAAAAAUAUUUUCACCCACACAGACAAACCACUAUUUCGAUUUUUUAUGACGGUUACAAUGUCAUCUAGUAAGCCAAUUGUUGCAAAUGCCAGAGUUGCCACUGCUGUUCCAGAAACUUCAACAGAAGAGAAACCAGCAACAAAUUUUGCAACGCCUACACCAAUUGGUACAAAAAAUAGUCCACCCAUUGUGGGGCUUGCCCUUUUCUUGGAGUGCCGAAGUGGCCCUUCUUUCCAGAUAUUCUGAUGAAUUCUUAACUCACUAAGUAGUGGAACACAAAGAUAACCCAAAAAAGAGACUAGAACUGCUGAUAUAAAAAAUGGACGACACAAGUAAAAUGGUUCUAGGGGUAAUCUGACAAUCUUCCAUGCACACCAAUCAACAAAUAAGAGAAGAACCGUCAAAAAGGCUAGCAGACACAAAUUAAUUAAUGUCCCGAGUUUGUUCCUGCAAUUGCAGUAUGAAAAGAACUAGUCAAACCAAAGUAAUGCAUAUAGAAUUCAUGAAAAAGAAUCGACUGAAGUAUCAUCCCCUACAAACAUGGAAACUCUCAACUUUCCAAUUAAGUGCACAUGUAAUCUCAAGAAUAGAGGCAAACUUGGCCAGCGAAAAACCAAAUGGAAAAAAAGUUAAACAUCACUAAUGGAAUCUAGACAUGCCCUUUUACAGCUGCAACUAGAUGAAUUUCCUAGGAUGGACCUUUAUAAGGUAUAGCAUUAAAAACAUGAGAUUCAACUAAGGAAUUUUUGCACUGAGUUUUGAUGCCCAGAUACGGUACAGUGCAAAACAACAUCAAAUAGGAUGAGAGGUCCUAGGACUACAAAGCCUUGAUUGCAGUGAAAUUUCUUUAAACAUCCAAAAGCAAUCAAGCUAUUUCAAUCCAUGUGCGAGACUGAUUUUGCAUUAAAGUGUCAGUGACAACCUGCAACAACCAAACAUUUUAGGCACAAUAGUGACCUUAACCCCAUUUUAGCACAGCUGACAAAGGUUAACAAGAAGUUAUAUACCCUUGCUAACCCAGGGCUACAAUUACAUCGAUCUUGUUUUCCUUUUAAUUUUUUUUUUCACUGCCCUAUUCACUCUCUAAAAUCCAUAUAAACCAUAAGAGUUUCAUUUUGCGUAACAAUGCAGCACACUUGCCUACGUUUUCGGGGGGCCCUCCCAAUCAUUGCAAGCCUGUGAGCUGUAAGUGUGAGAGCAUCAUUAGUUGAUACUUUAGCAGUAGGCAACUCCAUAUCCGUCACCGGAUUUAUAAUAUAUUCUCCAUCACUGUCUUCCCCGUCACUGGAUAAUAGCAUGUAGCCAGCAGCCCCAUCAUUGUUAGCCCAGUCAUCAAGCGGGGAGGAUACACCAGACAAGUCCUAUAAAACCAAAAUCGAAAGCACUGAGAAUCACAAGAACUGAUUGCUUGCAGGUAAUGUAUCAUGUGCAAAACUAGUGAGAAAUGGACAUUUGGAUAGAUUACAUACCUCAUCAAAGGCCCUGACUUGGACAAUCUUAUGGCGCAAUCGUCGUCCUCCAGCACUUGAUCCAUUUAACUGCACAAAUUAGUCAGUCAAUAAUCAAUUAUCUAGUUUCCAAAUUCAUUUCCGGCAUGGAUGUUUAAAUAAUUGUUAUGCAUUAAUAAUUUAUUUUUUAGAAAAAUUGAAAAUAAAUAAAUGAAAAAAUAAAAGGAAGAAACUGACCUUGAAGUUGUGGAAUGAAUUAGAAUAAAGGGGAGAGGAAGAAAAAGGUUUUGGUGGUCGAGAAAGCCGUAUACGAGAGAGGUGAUGGUGGUGGUUUAUAGAAAGCAUGACUAGUCCAAAGGAAAAAGGAAGAGCAGGAAUAAUUACAGUAAAUGAAAGCAGAUGGUUAGAUCCAAAGGAGAAGGAGGAGGAGUUUGGUGAGAGAAGAGAGGCCAUCAAAAGAAGAAGAAGAUGCAAGGGCGUGUUUGUGUUCGUGUUCGUGUUCGUGUUUCUUUCUGAAGAGGGAAGGUGAAAGACGUGAUAUAAAUUCUGCUUCGAAAUUCCCGCAACAUCUGACAAGGUCUGUUUUUGCCCUGUUUGAGACCACCCUCCUCCUCAUCCUGCUAUUGUUAUUACUAGUUUAGUGCCACAUGAAAAUAUUUUUUUAAUUUAAACAAAAAUGUUAAAUUUUUUUUAUUAUUAAAUUUGAUAUACAGAGUUAAUUUUAAAAAUAAAAAGUUUAAAAUUAAAUUAUAUAUUCCAUCAUAAUUUAUUUAAUUUUAAAAGUAAUGAGUUUAAAAUUAAAUUAUACAUGAGUUUGUCUUGAAGUAAUUCAUUUCACUUGACAUCUUUGAAAUCUUUGAAGACAAUUUAGAAAACUUAUGGUCUGGUUUAAAAAUAAAUUAAGAUAAUGUUUUUUUAAUAUUAAAAUGAUAAUAUAUUAAAUCAAUUUAUAGCUCAUAGUUUAAUUCGCUAUACUUGUAUUUUCAUAAAGUUCAAUGAUUUUUUAAAAAAUUAUUUUUUAUUUAAUUAUAUUAUAAUAAAAAUAAACAUCUAGGUUAAAAAGAAAAAAAAAAAAAAACAGGGUUAAAAUAUUUUAUCAAGGGUGUGUUGUAACCACAUUAUCUCAUUAAUUUAUAUUCAAGUUGUACUAGUUUUUUUUUUUUUAUUUAACGUGGAUAUCCGGACCAGCUUGCGCACACCUCGACUAAUCCCAUGAGCAAAUUGUACUAGUUUUGAUAUGGGUUGACGCUGUUAUGUUUUUGUUUUUGUUUUUAUUGUCUUCCAAGGGGUAGAUAGCAUACACGGAGCUCACCCAUUGGGUGCGGUGCAGAACCAUGUUUUGGUUUGAAAAUUUUAUACCUUGUGAUUUUCUGUUAACCUCAUUUGCCAGUUCCUAAUCUUUAAUUAGCUGGCCUCAUUUGCCAGCACAUUCCGGGACACAGGCGAAUUACUUGGCAAGAGCUUGGGCGAUCACCGAGCCAAAAUCACAAGUCAAAUCUUGUUCCUGGUGAUCUGCCCUGACGAAAUCUGUUGCUCAAGAGCGCGCUCCUAGUGCCUUUAAUCAAUGUUCCUUUGAGCAGAAUCAAUCACAGAGAAUCCCAGAAAAUACAUUUUAACACAGAACAAGAGGGCAUUAUACCACAUUAAACCAGGCCCUGUGUUUCCAAACAAUUGCUUUCCAGAACAAUACAUUUAGAGAACACAUGUAUCAACGAGUCAAAUGCAUGUAGUACUACAACUCCUGAAGGGUUGCGUUUCUACCAAUACGCAAGCACAGAACAUGAGCCUGUACUUGAUAGUUCGUAAUCAAAAUGGCACCCAUAAGAUCAACCAACAAUCCAGCAGAGAGAUUAGGAUAGUUAUCCUUCCAUGCAAUUCAAACACCACUUCCAUCUCCCAUGCUACUGCAAACCACAAGUUAUAAGGCACAUUUUAUACAAGUGUAACUGUCAUAUGGUUUCCUGGCUUUGAUUAGGUAUGGGAGGUCGGCCUCGUCCCACCGCGAAUCCCCUGGUUCCAUCAGGCAUUUUUGGCCCAGGAGGUGCUUUCGAGAAUUCAACAGCAUUAUAGGAUGUAGUUCCAUGGCCUGGUAAAAAUAAAACAAAUGAUACCAAUUCAUUGUUAUGUAUAAAUGCAAGAUAUCCUUAAACUUGUUAUAAUUUCAUGAACAUAAUAGGUUUUCUAAUAAAAUUGAGCAGUAAUCUAUAUAUAACAUUUUCAUAUGAACUAAGUAGAGAAAAUUAAAUAAACAAACUCUUUCUUCUCCUUUUUUAUUUCUUACAAGUUUAAAAACUCAUGUUGCCUUCUCAAUUGAACUGUUUAAUCUAUUUUCAAAUACUUUUAUACACCAUCACAGACAUAAUAAAAAACCCCUAACUAAUUUUUUCUCCAGCUCUUUGACUCACAAACUUCCCGAUUUAAACACAGAAAUUUAUAAGCAUUUACUUCUUUUUAUCUUCUUUUAAGCUUCCAAGUGUUAAUUAAUUUUCAAUUUCAAAAGUUUUGUUCCUAUUUAUACUUUGGUGAGUGACCUAAAGAAAUCCAUAGACAUACUUUAUAAAACAAGCCAAUAUUAUUAAGGCUUCGUUUGUUUGCCAUAAAAUAGUUUCCUUUUGAAAAAUAGUUUCCAUGAAAAGUGAAUUUAUAGAACAAUAUUUGACAAUAUUAUGAAAAAUAAGCUGGAAAAUGUUUUAUAGUGUUUGGUUAUGCCAUGAAAAAUGAGCUGGAAAAUCACUUAUUAAUGUUUUUUUUAUUUUUUUUUCAAGUUCAUCUUAACAUGUAUAGAAUAUUAAAUUUAACUAUUUGACCACUUACAAGAAAAGAAUGAGAAAAAAAAAAUAUAAUGGUGAUUUAUUUUUAUUAUAUCAUAUAUUUAUAUAUAGUUUAUUUUAUAAUAUGUAACUACUAACUAUACAUAUAAUAUAAAUAUUUUAAAUAUAAUAUUAUAGAUAUAUAACCAUUUUUUGGUGUUCGGAGAACAAUAUAACACAAUUUACAUGAUUUAAAAUGAACAAGUAUUGUAUAAUAUAACAUGUUUCAUAUUCAAAUGUAUUUUCUAGUAAUAUUAUAUAAAUUAAAGUAUCAUAUGCACUAAUAUAUCAAAUUAAUAUACUUUCAUAUUGUAUAUUAAUAUACCCUAAUAUAUUAUUUUCUAUAUAAUAUUAUAUUUUAAAGUGUUUUAUUAAUAAAUUAUUGUUUAUAUAUAUAAAAGAAUAAUGAAGUAUCAUACCCCUUUAGUUUUUGGGUCUUUCAUGAAAAGUGUUUCUAAUCUUUUAAACGGGAAAACACUUUCCUCCUCCAUCUAAAGCUUAUGUUUUCUUUAACCAAAAAGUGAAUGUCGUUGAUCAAUUUUCACAAUGUAACUAAAUAAGAGAAAAUAUGGAAAGUGCUUUUCAAGAAAACAUUUCAUCAAACAAACAAGGCCUCAAACAAUUACCAAUGAAUUUCAUGGUUUGAAAAUAAUUUCUUAAAUUUUUGUGUCAAUAAGAUUCUUGAAUGGUGAUUAAAUAAUGCAUACUUAUCUCUAUUCAAGUAUAGUUUAAUCUCUCUCUUAAUACAUUGAAUAAACAAGGCCCAAAACGUUAGACAUGUAAUUUUUUUUAUUAUUGGUUGAAUAAACGUGUUCCACAAACUAAAAUUUUGUAAAUGUGGGAAGAAAAAAUAAAAGAAAAAAUUAAAUUAAUUUAGGAAAGAUUUUUUUUGUUGUUGUUAAAAUAGGUGUGUAUAGGUUUGCAAGAAAGAUGAAAAAGAAGAUGUUAAGAAAUAAAAAGACUGUCGAUAGCUCAGGAAAGAGAAUGACAUAUAAUAAUUAUAUUUUAACAUAACCUAAUAUUUUAAACACUAUUAAUUAAUUUAUCAAUUACUAAACUAAUAUUUUUCACUUUUAAGCUUUUAUAAAUCAUAUGAAUAUAUUUCUAAUGUGAAAUUCUUGUAUUUGGUUAUUUAACUAUUUUUUUAUAUAAAAAAAAAAAAAAAUUGAACAUCACAUGUGCCAAAGUAACUAGUAAUAAAAAAGGAGGAAAAAAGAAAAUACAAAGUGGCCAGUCUAAAUACCCAUCCCAUUUGUAACACGAAAUUUGUUCUUUCUUGAUCGCCCUCGAUUUCCACCUUGCUGACCAUUUUUCUCCUUGGAUAUAUGCUCCCCAUCCUGAAAUGAUAUUUGAUGAAACAGGCACGAAGACAACAUUUUCUUAGACAUCCAAUUCUCUCAAUUUCAUUUCUUAUGAAAACAAUUAUCAUCACAAUUCAUGUUCAUUCUAUCAAUAUUUGUAGUUAUUUUUCAUGUUCAUUCUUCUCAUAGAUAUCCUUAAAGGAGAUUUUAAACUUCCUUCGUAUAGGAAUGCUUUCAUAUAAUCAAUCAGUGAAGGAAGAAACGAUAACCCAAUCUAAAUUCUCUGUGGAAUUUCAACAUCCACUAGAAAUGCUCUUUCUAAGGGAAAAAUGAAAUCUCUAUUGCAUUUACUAUAAUAGAGGUGUAAUAUCCUUGAGAGGCAGAGUUGUAACUCUGGUUGAUAGUUUGGUUCAAACAACAAUAUAACUUGACUAGCACAUCAAGUUAUCAAGGACUUCUAUAGAAAAAAAGAUUAUUAAUGACUAAGAAAGAAGGCAAUCAUCUCUAACCUCUUCAACAGGUGUAUCAUCAUGAUGCUCACUUGAAUCAUGCUUCUCCACAUCUCCUGCUAGAUUAGUCCCACGACCUUUGCGAUUCUUCUCAGAAUCAGGUUCCCUCCAGACUUGUCUUCUCUGCCCAUGCUUUGCCUAGAGCAAGAAAGCUUAACAAUACUACCGGUUGUUGUUAAUAAUAAGGAGAAAUAUCACUUACCAUUUGAUUAAGAUGCUUGACCCGCAUGCCAUUUCUCCAAUCCUGUUCGUUAUUUAAAGCUGCCACCUGAUCCAAUUACCAGAAAGUACUGAGCAUUAGAAUUAUACAAUCAAGCACCUUAAGCAAAAAGCAAUAGAUUUUACACAACAGCACUCACAGCUUUCUCAGCAGCCUCUACAGUAUCAUACUCCACAAAGGCAUGCACCUACACACAGAAACCAGAAAAGGGAUUGAUAGCAAAAAAAUUAGUUUAAUAUUAGCAAACAAAAUGUCCAUAAAACAACAACAACCACAACCAUGCCUUAGUCCCAAACUAGAUAACUAAACAAGAUGUCCAUAAAUAGAUUUGAAAAAAAGAAAAAAAAUCUUUAUGAGCAGCAACAUGAUGUUACAAAAACAAAAUGCAGGGAUUGUAGCUAACAUAAGGAUCAUUGUGGCUAAAGCUCACUUGAAGUUCUUUUGAAACUCAAAAAGGAUAAUCUAAAGGAAAUCACUUUAUCCUCAGAAAGUCAAUAGCUACAAUAAAAAAGUAUCAGCAGUGACCAAAUUUGACAAGAACCAAACAAAAAGGUCGGAGACACAACAACCUUAACACAUCUCACAGUCGGAAACUACCAUUUGCAUAUCCAAAAAUCAUUGCUGUAAGGUCCUCACAGCUAGAGCUAAGAUUUUAUAUUAUGUUUUUGGAACCCAACAGUCUCAUGUAAGGCACCAACUACACGUUCCCAUGGGCAAAAACAAAGCACUACAAGUCUGCCCAUUGAAGCUCAUUCCAAACAAUGGUCACUCACCUAAACCCGAUACAAAUCUUAUUCUUGCAGAACAUAAAUGCUCACUUUAGAAUAUUACCUAGUGUACCUCUCAAUAAGAUAAGUAAAAUGCUCAUACACUAUUCUAGAAUUCAUCUCCUAAACUUCAUAUUGAUAAGCUGCAUUCUUUGUCAAAUCACAAUAGAAAUCAAAAGGCAGAAAAAGGUAAAAGGAGGAAAUGAAGAUUAAAGCAGAUGAUGAAUAAGAGUAAAGAUGAAGCAGCUAAAGAACUAGCCAAUGAUAAUAUACCAUUCUUGUAAUAAAGAACGAGUUCAAUGCAAUAAUCCUUCAGAUGAAUACAGUUCCAUAAUCCAUACCUUGCUACUGAUCAAAAUAUCUGUUUUACUUCCUUUCUUAGACUUUUCCACAGCUAGUGGAUCACGGAUGGAAAUAUUCUUUAUCCUGAAAGUUGCAAACAACAACUUUUAGAAUGAACAGACCCACCUAAAAGGCAAUAAGAAAGCAAAAUAAAAGACUAGAAUUAAAAAGAUUACUUUCCAGCAGCACCAAAUAUUCUCUGGAGGUUGUUCAAUGAGUGAUCCUCUGGAAGAUUCUCAACCAGAACAGUGCAAAGCUAGGGUCCACAAAUUAGAUGCUCAAAGUUUUAUUAUAAUGCCAGUCCAAGUGAUUGGGGGUGGGGGGGAGAUCAAGUUCAUUAAAAUACCUUAGGAUCCUUAACCUCAGCAAAAUGAAAAGGAUCAAGGCGCUUCACCUUCUUUCCAUCUGAAUUUACAACCUGUAGAUUAAGGCAAAUAAAUUUGUGACAAGCAAACUUUUUUCUGUCCACAAAAUCCAAAUUCCAUAAGCAUGACAUAAAAGAAAGGGAGAAGAUGAAGCUUCUUACAAGAAUGGAAGACUCCCUAAGCGCAGCCACAAUAAAUGUGGAGUCUUGAGUAAGCUUCUUCAUUUUCCUAAAAGAAGCAAUAACUGUGAUAGGAACUGCAAGAAAACACUUACCAUGAAUGUGUAUAACUAUUACAUGAAAAACAUCACGGUAACAUGUAUGAACAAUUAGCAAUAUUUAGAAGCCUAAAUCAUAACAAGAUUGUCUACAAAAGCCAAGGGAAACCAUUCUCCAACUCAGAUCAUUUCAUACUUUGAUGAAGUAGUGCAAGCAGACUCCCAAUUCCACAAGUAUGAAGAUGGUUAAUUCAAAUGUACAAACAAAAUCAUCAAAAUUGUUGUGUAGAUACAACAUAUAAAGGAGAGAAAGGAUAGAAUUUGCAAAUGGAGAAACAACUAUAUCAUAGGAGUAAAAAUAUAAAUAAAACAGGGAGAUGGUCUUGUAUCGAAGCAGCAAGAAGGUAAAUUCGUAACUCCAAAAAGAAGAAAAAAUCAUGGCACUGCAUGGCAAAAGAGUUUCAGAAGGCAGUUAGAAGAUAGAAAGCAGACAUUGAUGUCCAACUUCAUUAUCACUAAAUUUACAUGCAUAGUCAUAUCACUAACCUAGCAUGAUUUUAUUUAUUUAUUUCUUGGCAUAAUCAAGAUAAAAGGUCAGCAAUACAAUUCUAAAAAAACAACCCCUUCGUCACUCUUUAUGUCUUCCACAUAAACAGGGAGCACUAUAACAAUGGAACCAGACCAGAGAAGUGAGCCGAUGGCAAUUCAAGUAAAUAAUAUUCGAACUGAAAUAAGCACUUUAGAUUAUUUAUUAAUUAAUAAUUAAAGAUAUAUUAGCAAUCACUACUCAAUUCACUCAUUAGCUAUAUUUUCUACUUCGCCAGCUACAGAAGGUUCUCCGUUUCUCUCUAACCCGUUAACAAAUUUAUCAAUUGACAAGCUAUAGACAUUAAAAAGGGAAAAACAAACUAUUUACCAAAGCCUUCUUUGUUCUUCUUUAUCAAACUUAUCAUAUACUUGUCGGUAGGCAAAUUCUCAUCACUAAAAUAAUAUUCCACCUGCAAAACAAUAAUUUAGGAGUUGUAAUUCAGUAACUUCAUUCGCAAGUUGAGUAUUAUGCAAUAAUUAAGACUUCUUAACCACAAUUGUAAUUGAAAGAAAUUCAAAAGAAAAAAAUAUACUAAAUUAAAUUAUUGCCAAACAGCAAACAAUAUAUAUAUAUAUAUAUAUAUAUAUAUAUAUAUAUAUAUAUAUAUAUAUAUAUAUAUAUAUAUAUAUAUAAGAAAUAGAAAGAGAGUGCUUGCCUGCUUAAUGAUUUUAUGCUUGAGAUCCACAGUUUGAACGGUAGGACCAGAUGACUGCUCGUGUUCGCGAUCAUGAUCCGGAUCAUGAUCUUCAUCAGACGGCAGUGCGUGGACGUCGACCUCAGGAGAUCCAACGGGGGUGAGUUCAAGAGGAGAUUCCACGGUGGGAACAGGGGGGCCCACUUCACCAUCCAUGGAGGAGGAGGAAGAAAAAGGAGGGCGUCUGGUUGAAACAAAUGCCGUAAAGAGACUAAACCAUCCCGCUCUUUCUUCUCCUCCUCUCUAGUGGCUUCUUCUCCUAAAAGCAUUUAUAGGAUUUAUAGGAGCAUUUAUAGGGUUACGCAACAGCAGGGAAAUAUUUGUCGAGUAAGGUUUUGUUUGCUAUUGUUGUAGAUUUUAUUUUAAAAAAAACAAAUUAUAUAAAAAUAAUAUUAAAAUUUUAUUUUUUAAAAUUUAAUCUAAAAAUUUUAAAAAUGUUUUUUUCUUAAAAUUGUAUAAAAAUAAUAUUAAAAUUUUAUUUUUAAAAUUAGCAUAUCAAAAUAAUCUAAAAAGUUUGUAAAGUGUUUUUUCCUUGAAAUUGUAUAAAAAUAAUAUUAAAAUUUUAUAUUUUAAAAUUCAUUUUUGAUAUCAGCACAUUAAAAUAAUUUAAAAAUAUAAAAAAAUAAAAAAAUCAAUUUUUUUUUAUAAAACGUCAUUUAGGCCGCGUUCCCAAACAACACCUAAAUUUGCUUUGUUGAAUUGUUUUUUCUUUAAUUUUUGCCGUGUGGCUUUUAUUGGGGUCUAUUAUCCGGCACCGUUUUCUUGCGGUUUUUGAAAAGAUUGGUGCGAAGUUACAUGUUGGAACAAUUGUUUUGGUAAAAAAAAUUAAAGCUCGGCUAACAUAAUUUUAAUAAAAAUAUAUAUAUUUAUGAACUCAAAAUAUGAUGCACAUUGAAUGAAAUCUUCUUUAAAUAUUGACAUGAUAAUCUAUUGAAAGAUAAUUUUUUUAAAUAUUAAGACGAUGACAUAUUGGAUUAAUCUAGGUUAACCUAUCAAAUAUGCGACCAUAGUAAUGAGAUCAUGUGAACCUUAUAGAAAGCAAAUAUGAUGCGAACCUCUUGAUCACGCGGUCAAGCAACCCCUAACAAAGUAGAUAAUAACCUGGAAAGCCGAAAAUCAUAUUUGAUAGAACUUUGACCCAAAUGUAACCCUGUAUCUAAGAACCAAAGGUAUUGAAAAAAAAACUUGGACCUAGAUAUAACCUUGUAUUUAAAAAUCUUAAGUAUGAGAAUGACACCAAGAAGCUAGUCAAUCUUCGAUAAGUCAGUGUAUAAUUUUUGUCCCUGCAAAAAAAGGUUGUUUAGCUAAAAAAAAAAAGAAAACUCACGUUUAUUCUGCAACUUGAAUCAAAACAAAAUUCCACUUGUAUCUCCAUAUAUGUCACAAACAGUAUACAAAGGUCUAGUUUGACAGAUUUGAUAAGAUUUGUCUAGUAACUUUGACCCAUUGAAAUAAAAUAUUCUCGAACUCCAUUUGAACUAAAAAUUUACUAAAAUAUAUAUCCAUGUGUCUAGUAUCUCCUUGUAAAAUUUCAGCUUGUUCUGAUGUAUGGUUUGAGAGAUAUUCUUAAUCUCGCAAAACUAGUUAGCAAACAUUUUAAGACCAAAUUCGGAUAUGACUUGGUUCAUAUCAUCCUUCGUUUCUUUAAAAAGAUCCGACCUCAAAUCUGUAUCGUGAAAAACAUUUUCUAAGGUCAACAAAUCAGUAUCAAGCCAAAGAAUAACAUCAUCAUCAAAACCAAGAAGAACCUUGUUAGCCAAAAAAGGUCCCCCUAAUAUACAAGCAUGCAUAGUCCUUACGUGUGCACACAACGUUGCGACAUCGUGAUCAAGGAGUCACCACCUAGUUAUUUGGUUCAGGGUCACUAGGAGACCUAGGUAGACUGAUCUUAUAUGAAAUUUUAAGGUAAGAGACUAGUUGUGGCUAGGGAAGAUAUUAGCACCCCUAACGCACCUUACCUCAGGUAAGCAGUAUUGUGUGAUCUGGAUAUGGUUUAAAGGUGUUGAUGGAUUCCUAACCGAUGGUUCGUCUAUGGCUUAGAAUAAAAAUUUAUUCUCAUGAAUAAAUCUGGCGUUUCAAAUUCAUUAUGGGCUCGUAUGCCCAAAUAAUUUUUUAUGGGAAGAAUCCAUGUAGGUGCCCAAAUAGGGUUUACCUAUCCUGAAAGGCGAAAGAGUUUAUCACAACUCGUAUGUUGCGGUGAAAAAUAUUCCAAAUUAAAAUUGGUGAAUACUCGAAAUAAUUAUGGGAAUUUUUAAGUCAACUUCUGGUAUUUAAAUGCUAGCCUACUUGUAGGUCCAAUAUUUAUACCAGAAUUUUAACCAUUAAUUCUCAUGAAUUAAAAUUUUUAGGGGUUAUUGAAAUAUUGGUCAAGUUCUCAUGGAUUCAAUAAACUAGUUAUUACAUCCAAAACUACAUGCAAAAAUAUUUUUUAAAUUUUUAUGUAUAAAUAAGAAAUGUUAAAUCAUACCAUAUGUUUAUAUAUUAUUUUUAAGAAAAAUAUGAUUUUUAUCUUUUGAGAGGCUUAGCCAAAUGCAUACCAAAUAAAAUAUAUUUUUGUAUUUUUGAAAUGAGAAUUUGUUUUUAGAAAUUUUGGAAAUUUUUGAGAUUUCAACGAAAAAUGGGUAUUUUAAUACUAGAUCAACAUCUUAUAAUGUAAGUUUACAACUCUGAUAUUAAAUACAAUUGCUGGAAAAAUAUGCGAGGGACCCACAAAUAAUUUUAAAUUGGUCCUUGAUUUUUUUUUAGAAUUUUUAGGAAUUUAUUUGGGGCAUAUUUUAUAAAAAACCAUUUUUUAUUCAAAACAAAACUGUCAAAAUAGACUUAAGGGUGGGUGUGUGGUUGCCAAACAACUCCUUAGACAAAACAUUCCUCAACAAAAAAGUAACCAACCAAACAAAACUUUAGUACACGACCCCAAACAAAACCAAUCGGGUUGACUCGAAAACACUGGUUCAACCCUGAACCGAAUAAAAAACCAUGGUUUGACCUGAAACUAAAACAAAACAAAUAAUUAAACCAAAAAAUAUGAAAUCUAAAAAAAACACAAAAACAUAAUUUUUUUGGAUAAAAACAGAUCAAACACUAAUAACAUGAAGAACACGAUGAACAUUCAAACUGAAACCCAGUAAACACAAAUCACAAACCAGACAAGUUUUCAUGCAAUCAAGGGCAAGAUGUUGUUCAUAAUCAUGCAUAGAUCAAGAAUCAAGAAUCAAGCAUCCAUUUUAUUUUAUUAACACUCAAAAACCACGGUUUAAUCAAAUUGUGUUUGGGUAGUCGAAAGAACCCUAGAAUCUAAAUGCAUGAUCACAUGUUAUUGAUGUGUUUUAACCCUAGAUUAAUUGCUAAAGAUGACAAGCUAACAUGUCUGUGCCAAGAAUUAACCCAAAACAAUUCCAAAACAAGAGGCUAAGGCAAAGUUCAUUAGAAGAACAUGAACCUAGAAUCCGGAAAAUUUCUAGAAAUUGAAGAACUCCUGCCAAAACUCAGAUUUGGCCUUCUAGGCCUCUAAACACACUGUUUUUGGUCUUCACAAACCACAUUACCAAUACUGAGCAUAGUUGAAUCCAAAGAACUAACAAAUAACAUCAAAUCAUCAAUAACAUGCAUGGAGUUUUAGUUUUUAAAACUGUCAAAUCUUAUCUAGCCUACAUAUCUAUGCUAUUUGGAUUCAAAAUUAGUUUCUUAAACAUAUUUUUGGUCAUGAACAAGCCUUAAUCAAAUAAUAUUGCUUCACAAUGCAUUAAUCAAAUAAAACAAAACAAAAAACAAACAAACAAUGUUUUAUCAAAACUAACCUAACUAGAAAGCUUUUGUCACAUUAAAAAUAUCAAACACACCCUAAAAAUAAACAUCAAACCGUAUAAUCAAAAUCAUAGCAACAAGAAAAAAACAAACACAACCCUUACUUUUUAAGCAUCACCCUAUUUGCAAACAUAAAUAUAGACCAAAUGAAAACCAAAAUCUCCAUAAGUAGGCCACAUAAAAUCCACUUUUAGGUUAGAAAAUAUACCUUUAAAACCCUAGAACAACUAUUGCCUUCUUUGCUCUCUUUUGUAAAGUUUUACUUCUACAAACUUAGUACCCUCUCAAAACUGAAUUAACCCUUGUGCUAGGCUUGUAAACCCUCACAACUAGGAUAUUUUCUCAAUAUUACUCUUCUCAUUUUCUCUUUUUUUUCUCCUCCUCAACUCUGAUUUUUGGGGGUUAUUUAUAGGAUUUUGCUAAGUUUUUUUAUUGGAUUCAAUCAAAGAUUGAUCAAUCUUGGCCCUUUGAUAAGAAUGGAAGGGUUUUGGAUACAAAAAAAUAGUAACUGGAAGUUAUGUAUUAAGCUGGUUUUGGUUUUGGGGAUUUUAGUGGUUUUGCCAAACUUGGAGACCAAUGAGCUAUUUUUUGGCCUUUUGAUUUUGAAAGAAAUACGACUAACCCUUGAUAAGAACCUAUUGAGAAAUUUUUGAGUGUGAACACAUGAAAAAGUUAAUGGUUUUGCCAAAUGGGUGUCAUAAUCAUGGCUAACUGGGUUGACCACUUUUAAGGCAUUGUUAGAGCAACUUUGACAUCAAUGUUGCUUGAGAUCACCUAAAGUUGGUUGAGGAGGUGCACAUCUUUCAUUUGGAUCCAAUCUUGCUCAAUUUGGAGGUCUGUAGCUUCACAUUUAUUGGUCCAAAGGUGUCAUCUCGAUUUUCCUAAAAUUUGAAAAUGCAAGGAAAGUUUAUCAGGAUAAGAUAUCGAAGACUUCUAUGGAAGAAUUGGGGUGUAAACGUUCAAUUUCAUGGGUAUAGGAUUGUAGAGAGGGUGUUUCUCAGUUGAAUGACAGUGUUUACAACCCUUGAGGUGGUCAGAAACACCAUUUUCAUUCACCUAAAGAUGCCUACUCAACUAGCCAAAAUUGCUAAGGAAGGAGAUGAACAGUGAGUGAACGACACGUCGUCUAGGUUAAACCCUAGAAAUUAAGGUUUUUUAAUUUAGGAUUUGGUCGAUUUUAAUGUGGUCCUUGCUCUUCCAGUUCUUUUUAUUUGCAUCCGUAAUUGUCUCCCAACUUUUAAUUGCAUGCAACUGCAUCCCUACCAAAUUUAAAUAUCAGCCCUAAAGUUUAGCGUAUUUUACAAAUGAGUCCUUGGUUUUUAAUUUGUUCAAUUUCAUCCUUAAUUGACCAUUAAAAUUUCAAUUCCUUUUAAUUUAACCCCUGAUUUCUCUAAUUUUACCCCUGGAAUUGCGCGUCACUUACAUGUUGGUCCAUGGUAUUUGGAAUCUACAAUUAAGUCUUUAAAAGGCUUUCAAACUUUAAUUUUUUCAUAAUUAAGCCUUUGAUUUAACUAAUUAAACCUUCCAAAGUCUAAUUUCAAUCCCUAAAUUAACACCCUAAUUCACUCCAAAAAUUGAGUUUCCUUGCAAUUAAACCUUCAAUAAAAUUAAUUAAGCCUUCUAAAAUUCUCAUUGAGUCCUUACACAUUCAAAUAUGUGUUUCUUUACUCCAGAUAAAAAUAUUUUCACUAGUAGGGCCUUUUUUCAGUCAGAAUUAGGUUGCUAAUUUUGCUAUUCUUAUACAUUUUAGUCCUAUAACUUUUUCAUUUGUCAUCUUGGUCCUCUACUACCAAUCUUGGGUGAUCAUUUAGGCUUUCUUCAUGUAUGUUCUCUUGUAUUUUUAUUAUUAUAUAUAUAUAUAUAUAUAUAUAUAUAUAUAUAUAUAUAUUAUGUGUGGUAAAAAAUGGAUAACAAUAGAUGCUAUAUAUUAUGUGUGGUAAAAAUGGAUAACAAUAGAUGCUCUCUCUUAUAAUGCAGAAAAAAUAUCUAACUUGCUGUGUGAUCUAUCCAUGCAAAGACUUUGCUUUAUAUGUGAUCUAUCCAUGCAAAGACUUUGCUUUAUAUAGAAAAAAUUUCAUUAUCACAAGUAAUCUGCCCCUUUUAAAAUUAAAAAAAUCAAUUUAUUCUCAUGGACGACCUGUCCAUUUUGAAAUCUAAAAAUUGGUCUUUUUUCACGAGUAACCUACCAUUUUUAAAUUCCUAAAAUAAUUCCAGCAAGCAUCUAUGCUUCCCUGAAAUUGGUUUAUUUUCACGGGCGACUAUCCAUUUUGAAAUCUAAAAUUUAGCAUGUUUCACGGGCGAAUUACCCUUUUCAAAUUCCUUAAAGAAUUCCAGCUAACAUAUAUGCUUCCUUGAAAUUGGUUUAUUUCACGGGCGACCUAUCCAUUUAAAAUUAAAAAAUUAGCCUACUUUCAUAGGUGACCAACCAUUUUUCAAAUUCCAAAAAGAAUUUUAGCAAGCCUUUAUGCUUCCCUGAAAUUGGUUUAUUUUCAUGGGCGACCUACCCAUUUCAAAUUCCAAAAACAAUUUCAACAAGCCUCUAUACUUCCCUGAAAUUGGUCUAUUUUUAUAGGCGACCUAAUGCGAACCUUGUGAUCACGUGGUUACGCAACCCACAAUCAAGAUUGAGAUCUGGUCCUGGAAAGCCAAAAAAUGUCUGAUAGGAGUGUGGCAUAAUGAAAACCUGCCCCAAGACACCAACACUAUUGGAAUAAAGUAGAAUGACGCCAUGAAGUUAGUUAAUCUUUGAUAAGUUAGAUUCAGUUCGUUCAAAAACUGAAGAAUGCAAGAAUCACUCUCACACGUUGAAAAAUUCAGAAGUAAUAUUCCUCAAUGGCUGCUAAAAUUUUGUUUACAUGAGUUUAAAUAGUUCUUGAAAAAUUAACCCUAAUGGACCCCUUAUGUGGACUUAUAUGAGAUCCACUCAAAACUGACCCAAAAACCCUAAACUGAAAAGCUCAUAACCUGAUCCAAACAAGUGUUGGAUCCUAGCUCAAAACAAAGUUUUAAUUAAGCCCAAACAUGAAAGAAAAUAAUAAAAAUAACUAAUCUAUCAUUAAAUAGCACCAACCAUUCUUUCCUUGUGUAGUUAGGAUGAAUAAGGAAUCCUUAUAAGAUAAGGAUUCUGAAACAUUAAUGAAUCGUUACUACUCUUGUAAAUUAUGUUUUAGCUUAUUAAAGAUUCUUCUGGAACUAUGAAAUUCCCAAAACAAGUUGCCACAUCCUUUAAGAAAAAUGAUCAUUGCCAAAUAGGAAGUCCACAUGUCAAAAGGUAGUAAAUAACAAAAUUCAUAUAACUUGUUCUGACCUAUAUUGCAAGUCCUUUUUUGAACUUCGAUUCACCUGAAAAUGUACCCUAACAUAGAAAAAUACCUCUUGAAUCUUCUAGUAAAGUUUCAGCUUGAUCCAACUGUUGAAUUUGGAGUUAUACUCAAUAGCGUAAAACUAGACGGUAGAAACUUUUACACCAAAAUCCGAAUCUGACCUUGCUUUGGUAGUAUCACAAUGUUGAAUCGUAUCAUUUAUGAUUCUUGCAUUCUUCAGUUUUUGAACGAAUUGAAUCUAACUUAUCGAAGAUUAACUAGCUUCAUGGCGUCAUUCUACUUCAUUCCAAUAGUGUUGGUGACUUAGAACAUGUUUCAUUGUGUCACACUCCUAUCAGACCUUUUUCGGCUUUCCAAGAUCAAAUCUCAAUAUUGAUUGUGGGUUGCAUGACCACGUGAUCACGAGGUUCGCAUCAGUUGGUAUCAAAGCUAGGCUCCGAAACAAGGUCAUAUCCUUCUGUUAUUUUCGUUUUUUUAGUGUUCCUUUAAGUUUUUUAGUGUUUGCGUCGUUCAUCUUCUUGUUCUUUGUGUCCGUGUCAUCUAAGCAAAAAAAGAGAGGUUAUAUUUCAUCUUAUUACUGUCUCUAAUCAUAUCAGUAGCAUAUAUAUAUAUAUAAGAGAUAAGAUGAAAUUUGAAGGAUGAUUCAAUUCUACCGCAGAAACACAACUCUUACUGAACUAUAAGAAAAUCGCCUCAGAAUCAAUUGCAACUUCAUAUUCCAUCUAUUAGGGGUGAGAUCACAACAUAUAUAAAAUUUGAGCUUAUUUUGAUAUCGUAUGCUUGAGGUUUUAAUUUGAGGUUCAAUUUUGCCGCAUAAACACUACUCUCAGUGAACCAUAAGCAACCCACCUUAAAAUCAAUUAAAACUUCAUAUCCUAUGUAUUGUAGGUGAGGUCGCACCAUAUAUUAAAUUUGGGAUUAUUUGGAUAUUGGUUUCUUGAGGUUUUAAUUGGAGGUUCAAUUAUGCUGUAAACUAAUCAUACAAGGGGUUUGGGUACCUAGACAUAAUAGAACGACCUAUAAACUGAGAUUUAUUGUUUUCUUGGUAUCCGAAUACUAUAUAUUAAAUUCGAGGUCAUUUGGAUAGUGUUUUCUUUAGGUUUCAGAAUCGGGUUUUGUCUUGCCGUAACGGGUCUGUUUUGCAUUAUCUUUCAAAACUUGUUUUGUUUCUGUUGAUUUUGUUCCUGCUAGUAUAUUAUCACCAUAUUUGGGAUAUUUGGUUAUUGUUUAAGUCAUUUUCAUCACUUUCAUAUUUGUUUGUUUUCAAUCAGUUUUGGUCCAAACAAAAGUCAGAUUUGUAAUUUCGAGUCUAAAUCACUGUUAUUCUUGUCAUAAACUCUAUUCUUGUUGUGUCUUCGUCUUCUUCUAUUUUUCCUAUUUAUGUCAUGUAUUCAGCAAGGGAGAGGGAAUGAAGAAGGAUUCUAGCUCAAGGAUGAGAAAAUCUAAGCCAUGGUUUGGGGGUUUUAGAACAAGAAGUUGAUAAGUGUAGAAGAUUAUUCUGUGAUUUUUAAACUUCAUGGGAAAAGGAGGUACAAUGCCAAAAAAAUAAAAGAUGAAAGAGAGUCAUUGUUGUUAUCAUUCAAAAUUAUACACGCAAGUGGUUAGUACAACUUGCUUAUCUAAAAUUCUUGUCAGUCACUACUUUCAUAUAGUGUUGUUGGAGAAAGGUGUUAGCAAUAAGGGAAUUUUGAAGGCUUAAACAAGAGGCUAAUAAAGUUGCCACUAAUCCUAUUCAAGAUUCGAGGGCGAAUCUUCUUGAAGAGGGAGGGAAUGAUAUGGUUUAGCCUUGUGAUACAACCCAAGUAAAGUCAGAUUCAGAUUUUGGUGUAAAAGUUUCAACCGUCCAGUUUUAUGCUAUUAAACAUAACUUCAAAUUUAAUCGUUGGAUUGAGCUGAAACUUUACUAGAAGAUUCCGGAGAUAUUUGUCUAUAUUGAUGUACAUUUUCAGGUGAAUCAAAGUUUGGAAAGACUUGCGAUAUAGGUCAGAAUAGGUUGUACGAAUUUUGUUAUUUACUACCUUUUGACCCGUGGACUUCCUAUUUGGCAACGAUCCUUUUUUAAAAGGAUGUGGUAGCUUGUUUGGGAAUUUCCUAGUUCUAAAAGAAUCUUUAAUGAGCUGAAACAUAAUUUCAAGAGUGGCAACGAUUCAUUAAUUUUUCAGAAUCCUUUUUUUAUAAGGAUUCCUUAUUCAUCCUAACUACACAAGGAAAGAAGGGCUGGUGCUAUUUAAUGACAGAUUAGUUAUUUUAUUAUUUUCUUUCAUGUUUAGGCUUAAUUAAAACUUUGUUUUGAGCUAGGAUCUAAUGCUUGUUUAAAUCAGGUUAUGGGCUUUUCAGUUCAGGGUUUCUAGGUCAGUUUUGAGUGAACCUUAUAUAAGUCCAUAUAAGGGGUUCAUUAGGGUUAAUUUUUCAAGAACUAUUUAAACUCUUGUAACCAAAAUUUCAGCAGCCAUUGAGGAAUAUUACUUCUAAAUUUUUCAGUUUUAACGUGUGAGAAUGAUUCUUACAUUCUUUAGUUCUUGAACAAACUGAAUCUGACUUAUCGAAGAUUAACUGGCUUCGUGGCGUCAUUCUACUUCAUUGCAAUAGUGGUAGUGCCUUGGAGCAGGUUUUCAUUGUGUCACACUCCUAUCAGACCGUUUUCGGCUUUCUGGGAUCAGAUCUUAAUCUUUUUUUUUAAUCAAAUGUAAGAAAUUGUAUAGAUCAAAAGUGAAACAAAGCUGGAAACCAGCAAGUCAGAAUAUACAGGUGAACAAAGGGAACAAGCUCCCUUGAACAAGCGAAUACAACCAAAGAAAGGGAACAAAACAAAGGGAAAAAACUCUCUUGAACAAUGGGAACAUGCUCCCUGAAAUAAAAAUAACAAGUUACCAGGCUAAACAAAACCAACAACCAGGCAACAGAACCAUACCAAACAGCAGUUGGGUGUAGCCAACUUCAAACCCUCAACAAUAGGCUAUCCAACCAGCAAACCCGUAGAUAGUUGAACCUGCAAGUAUAUAAGACAACAGUACCAAACAAAAGGCACCAAUGCAGCAACACCCCAAGCCAGAGAGCAAAGCAAACUCCAGCAAACCACAACAAAAUCAUCUAGCAGAACCAAAACCAACCUCCACUAGGACCACGGGUUGCGUAACCAUGUGAUCACGAGAUUCGCAUAAGUUGGACCUGUCCUUUUUUAAAUUCUAAAAAGAAUUUCAGCAAGCCUUCAUACAUCCCUAAAAUUGGUUUAUUUUCACGGGUGACCUGCCUAUUUGAAAAUAAAAAAUUUUAGUCUAAUUUCAUAACACCCUUUUCAAAUUCUAAAAAGAAUUUCAUCAAGCGUCCAUACUUCUCUGAAAUUGGUCUCUUUUCACGGGUGACCUACCCAUUUUAAAAUUCAAAAAUUGAUCUAUUUUCACGGGUGACCUACCUUUUUUUCUUAAAUUCCAAAUACUAGGAUCUACAUUGGAUCCUCCCAAAACUUUUAUAAGAAAAAAUACCCUUAAAGGGUAAACUCUUAAAACGAGUGCCUUGUCUUAUCGCCUUAGUUAUCCCCAACUUAUGGAUGAGAUUUCUUUGCCAUUUCUCAACUUCUGUUCACCUAUGUAAAUUUCACUGCCUUUCCUCUUGAUUGGUGAAUCAUGCACCAACACUAUUUCAAAGUUGAGGUUAAACCAUAUACAAUGUAUGUCUUUUAAAAUAUAGCCCCCCCUUUUCUUCACAAUCUCUUCCUUUAAUUACCGAGGGUUGUAAUUUUUAAGGUGGUCUUUCUUGCCAACUUAUCCUUCUAGGUUACUAGAGCAAAUACGUGUUCAAAUCUUGAGUAUCAAGCUGCCUUUAUAGCCUUAUUCUUUUAUGAGUAUUUAGGUCGUGGUGAAUGCUAUCCUAAUCGGGAAUGAAUAAAAAAAAACUCCUUACCUUAUGACUACAUUUUUUUAUGUGUUUUUUGUAAAUACUCAUAACACUAUGCAUAUUAUUUCUUUACAGAAUUAGAGUUCAUAGGUCAAAGCAAGUCGUAUCCAUAUAUUAUUGUCAAUAAUAAAGCCCCCCUAAAAGAAUGCUUUUUUCACUAUAUAUGAGCGUUGGGUGCUCACUUACUUUGAUCUUUAUCAAGUAGAGGAAGAUCUUUCUCAACACUAUAUCUCCUUCCCGAAAUACCCCUAGGUCUGACCUUCUUGUCAUAUGCUUUAACCAUUUUUUAUUGAUACAACUAGUGUGGUAAAUUGCAACUAACCUCUUUUCACUAAUCAGAUUUAACUGCUCGUAUCUUAUUUUAGCCCAAUCAGAUUCCCUAAGUUUUGAUUCCAUCAGUACCCUUAAAGAUAAGAUUUAUACUUCUAGCAACAUUACUGCUUCUAGCCUGUAAACCAAUGAAUAAGGUGUAGCUCCUGUAGUCUUUAUUACUGUGCAAUAUACAUGCAGAGAAAAAGGAAGCAUUUUAUGUUAGUCCUUGUACGUGACUAUCAUUUUCUGCAUAAUCUUCUUGAUAUUCUUAUUGGAUGCUUCUACAAUACCGUUCAUCUUCGGCUUAUAUGGAGAUGAGUUUGAGUGCUUGAUUUUCCAUUUUGCGCAAAGCUCCACUAUCAUUAUUCCACUGAAGUUUGGAUCAUUAUUAGUCAUUAUCUUUUCAAGUGUUUUAUAUCGAUAGAUUAAAUCUCGUUCAAUGAAUCUCUUCACUACCUUCUAGGUUACAUGAGUAUAUAAAUUGGCUUUCAUCCAUUUUGCGAAAUAGUAAAUGGCCAUUAGGAUAAACCGAUGUCCAUUGCUGACUUUUGGAUUAACAGGCUUAAGGAUUUAGUAAAAGGUCGGCCUAUGUUAAGCAAGAAUUAAGGGGGUAAACCAGCCUACUCUAGGGAGGAUUGGGGAAGGGGAAAACCGGUCCUAGAUUAACCAAAUGAGAAAUAAGAACAAGGUAAACCAACCCUCCAAACAACCCAUCAUAUUUAUUAGUAAUAUAAAUAUAAGGGGGAGAAAAAGAGAUGACUCUUCCUCUCCCCCAAAAACCGGUAGCAAACAUUGCUGCAACAACCAUCUCUUCCCAAAGAAAAAACUAAACCAAACCAGUUUGCAUGUCUUUUCUUGAGUGUUGAGUGAAGGCAGAGCUAGAGAAAAGAAGAAUAACUGAAAACAUGGAAGAAGAGGGAAACCAGAAGGUCAACUGGAACAACAGAAUAAGGAGAGAAGAAAACUAUGAGGAGGAGAAGAACAAAAUCACCAAAGACCUUUUCUAAGAUUGUUAAAAUCAUAAGGUAAGUGUAAUAUCACCCCCUUGGCUGGUUGUUACCCUAAAUUUCAAACAAAAAAAGAGAGGAAAAGAAACUUCAAAAUGGGAGAUUAAAGCUCUUACAUUUUAACUCAAAACUAAGCAACUAAGUGUGAAGAACCUAAGUAAAAUAAUGAACGAAUGAACACAAGUGCAUAUUCUUACAAAAGAAAAAUGAAUGAACAUGAAUGAUUUUGAAUGUGUAGACCUAAAGGAGGGUUGACCAAGUUGAAGGGAUGAUUGAAAUGAUGAAAUCCAUGAAUGAUGAUCUUAUUAAACUCCUAGGAAUAUACUUUAACCAAAACAGAAUUCAUGCUUGCACUAAUGUCUUGAUUUUUUGCAUAUAUGAUAGAAGAACUUGUGUGAAAAUGAAAUGAAGUGAUGGUAUGUGCAGAAUUGUGAUGUUGUUAAGCCUUUAAAGGCAUGCUGGAGUUGAAACAAAAGUUAUACCAUGUUAAUGCCUUGAUUUUAUUUGUGUGAUGAAUGAACAUAUAUAAUUAUGAACCAAGUGGAUGGAUAUGUGUUAUGAACUGUUAUUAUGAAUAUACUUGUGAUAAAAUAUGAUACAUUGCAUAUAUAAAUUAGAGAGAAAUAGGUAACAAUGUUUCGGCCAUAGGAAAUGAGAGAACCAUUAAAAGACUUGCCAUGACAAACAUCUUAGGGGAAACAAGUCUUAGGUCUGGAGUAAACCCUUUUUUAUUAUGAAAUUACUAUUGGUUGUGUUGACGUAUUGUCAUGAUAUAAUUAAAAACAUAAAAUGUAUGAUUAUGGUAACUCUAGAUGUCGGUCUUGAAGUGUUAGCUAGGAAAGCAUUUGAAAAAUAUACAUGUUGAGACUUGGUUGCAUAUUACUUGAUAACUUGUGAUGAAUUGAAUGUGAAUUGGGAUGUCCUAUGUCCAACUAAGUUCGGGGUACGUCGGUAAAGGGGAAGGCUUCAUGUAGACCUUACGCCUAGCCAAUGGGGAAAGAAGUAAAACCAGAAAUGAUUCAAUCGUUGCUGAUGAUUUCUGAAUCGAUAGUGAUAUAGAUUGCGUUGAUGAUUUCUGGGUUGGCAGCGACUCAGUUUUCAUCAAUGAUUUUUGAGUCAACAAUAAAUCAUAUGCACUGACGAUUCCAUGCAUCAGCCAUGAACUAGUUUCACUAAUGAUUCUAUGUUACUAGCGACCCAGUUGUCAAUGAUGAAUUCUGAAUCUCAUGUGUCAUCCGUGAACCAGUUUCGCUAACGAUUAUGUGUUACUAGCGACCCAGUUGUCGUGAUGAAUUUUGAGCUUCAUGCGUCAACCAUGAACCGAUUUCACUAACGAUUCUAUAUUACCAGUGACCCAAUUAUCGCUGACGAAUUCUGAGUGCCAUGCGUUAGCCGUGAAUUAGUUUCACUGACGAUUCUAUGUUACCAGCGACCUAAUUAUCGCUAAUGAAUUCUGAGUUCCAUGCGUCAGCUGUGAACUAGUUUCGCCGAUGAUUCUGUGUCACUAGCGACCCAGUUGUCGCUGACGAAUUCCGAGUUCCAUGCAUCAGCCGUGAACUAGUUUUCGCUGACAAUUCUGUGUCACCAGUGACCUAGUUUUCACUGAUGAUUUCUGAGUUAGUAGCGAUCUAGUUUUCGCUCAUAAUUUCUAUGUCACUAGUGACCUAGUUUUCGCUGAUGACAUUCCGCGACAUCAACGACCUAGUUUCGUUGAUGAAUUCAAUAUCAGAAAUGAUUUAAUUCUUGUGAUGAUUUCAUCAUUGGUUUGACCUAAUUCACUACAAAACUUAAGAAUCAAACACUAGGACGUGCGGGGAUGACCCACGCUUAAAACUAAGAGAAAUGUCUUGAUAUGAUGACGCUUAUUGUAUGAUUAUAUGAUGUGUGAAACACUUGAAUGUGAACAUGUGUAUUCUUGGGAUAUGUAUGGUGAUGGCUUAUGUGAUUAAUGAAUGCAAAUAUGCUGAUUAGUGGUCAUUUGAUGUGUCAGGUGGUGCGACUGGGGUCAGACCUUCGACCAGAUGAGGACACCCCACGGGAGGAACAUGUAGGUGGUUUCCACCCUCUUCUAGCAUAAUAUUAAUUCUCCAAAAUGACUUCAUUAUGAAAGAUCUAUUAUUGCUUUAUAAUGAAUAUUAAACUGUACAUAGAAUAUUCGAUUAAGUUUAAUGAUUAGCUUCGACUAAUAACAUCAUAGAAGAAUGGUUGGGAUGAGUUUGAUGAUUAGCUUUGACUAAUGGCGUCCUAGAAGAAUGGUCGGGAUGAACAUUAUGAUUAGCUUCGGCUAAUGCCACCUAGUAUUAUGGUCACUAGGAACCCUAACUGGUCUUUCAGAGAUUCUAAGGCAAGGGACUGGUUGCGUAAAGGGAAGGUAUUAGCACCCCUAGUACGCCCUACCUAAGGUAAGCUGCUUGGUGUUUGGUUUGUCUUAAAAUUGCUAUGGUGUUGGUGUUUUCUAAUUCCAUCAAUUUUUCUAAGUUUGAUUCUAACUAAAUUUAUUAAGAUAGAAAUCCAAGAAGAUUCCAUGUGCUUUAAAAGCUCAUUUUUCCCUUGGUAUUUCAAGAGUUUGCGACUCGUAAAUCGCAAGGAGGAGGGACAAAAAUUUAGAAAUCUAGGGCACUUUAAAAGCCUAUUUUUACCUUAGUGUUUUAUACUCUCAUGGCUCGUAAACCGUGGAGUAAAAAAUUAAAAUGUCCUCAAUUAUAAUCAAGGCUUCUUUCAAGGAUGUGUGCGGAUUUAUUAUUCCUAGAAAAUUAUUUUGGAUAUUUACCACUCCGGGUUUCUUUAUCCAAAUAUUAACAGUGAAUAAUAACAAAUUAUUCCCAAUAAUAUUUUGGAUAUUCGUCCUUUAAGGAUUUCUUUAUCCAAACAUUAGCGGUGAAUAAUAGAUGAAUUCCCCCCAAAAUAAGAUUUUUAUAUUUUUUGGAAUAUUGGCCAAUACCCUUUGGAGUUUUACAAACAUGUUGUAAAAUCCAGAAAUGCAAGAAAACAAUUUUUUUGUUGUGUUUAAGAAAUCCAUGCGAAAACACAUUUUCAAAACUUCCAAUAUUUUUUGUAUAUAAAAAAAACAUUCAAAAUAUGUUAGGGUAUUGGCCGUAUGCAACACACAAGAAAACAAAUUUGAUAUAUAUGUAUAUUUGUCACAUUGCGUAAAAAAACAAAAAACGGGUAUUCUAAACACAAGACUAAUAUUUUUUACAACAAAAAAAAUUCAGACCUUAAAAUAAAUAUACCAAAAAAAUCAUAAAUCACUUUCUCUUUCUUUUAUUUUUUUGAAGAAAAAAAAACAGGGGGGGUUUGGGCAAAUGACCCGGCUGGACACAAAAGGGGUGCAGCUCUCUUUUGUGAAUGGAGAGCUACUGUUCAAGUGAAUUAAUUCACUUGAACAGUACAGACACAUACAUUACAAAGAAAAAGACCACACUAAAGUGCAAAUACAAAGCAAAAGAAAGCAUGCAACAGGUGAAUAGAAAACCAACCUGGAGACGAAGAAACUGCAGUGGCGUUGGAAGAGUGAUGGUUGCUGGGUCUGCGUCUGUCCUUCUUCUUAUGUUCUGUGUUUGGGUCUGCCUAUUGCCUCCUUCUUUACUCUGCGCCUCCGUCACUUUCUCUACUGAUUCCUAACUUUCUUUUCCCGUUUCUGCAGUUUUUAUUUGUAGAAAACAAAUGGAGCAAAGGCGUCUUUCUUGUUUUUCUUUUGCUGUCUCUCUCCCGUUCUCUAUUCUCUCCUCUUUUUUCUAUUUUUCUGCUCUCCUUUUCCUCUCCCGUUAGGUCAUUAGAAGGGCCUAUAUAUAGUCUAAAUAUGUCUCUAUUUAGGAAGGAUUCAAUGCAUUAAUCCUAGGACGCAAAUCCCUACUGAUUUGCAGUAAAAAAAACGCAAAAGGAAACUGCAAUAUUCUGAUUUUGUGUUGGUGCUUUACGUCUGAUUUCUUUCCAGUUUUAGAGGAGGGUGUGGCUCUUUUCUUUCCUUCCAUAGGGCCAACUGCUCCCUUUGAAAUGAGGCAAGAAAAAACGUGGUUGCAGCUCCAAAAAUCAGGCAUGAUGAUAAAGGAAAAACAGCAGGAAUUUGCAGCGAAAAAAGGAAAGAAAUCAGAUGGAGGGUGCAGCUGCAAAGUCUCAUUUUCCUUAUUCGGCGUGGAAAAAAUCCAGUCAUUUAUGAUGAUCCAGCCCCCCUCUCCAGCUUUCAAUAUCAUUCUUCAAUUCAAAUCCCUCAUUUUAACACUUUUCGAUUCAGUCCUUGGUCCAAAAGAAAUCCUUCGAAUCAGUCCCGCGAACUUGGGCUAUAUCCUUCCCGCGGCAGAAUUUUCUGCCCUCACGUUAGAUAUUCAAAUGGGAAUAUCUUGAGCUUCUGAUAUCGAAAUCAAGUGAUUCAAAAGCCCAAAUGCAUCUACGCGUCUAGGACUAAAACUUUUAUGAAGAAGUCGAAGUGAGAUAAAAUCGUUCUACAUAACAGAAACUGGUAGUAAUCUAGUUGGUCAAAAAGGUUCUUGAUCUGACAAUACUGAGCAUCCAAAUCUGACUGAGAAUCUGCUCUAAGAACAAUGAUCCCUAGGACCUAAUAAAGGUAUACGUCAAUUUUUUAACAGGUAAUGAGUGACAGAAUAUACCUAGGAUGGUCAGAUAUCGUACGAAACUGAGUCAGAAUCAUAGCCUAAGUUGAAACAAAAAAUUGCGACAGCAGCAGAACUAUUUUUUAGUGCAAAUUCUGAGGGAUUUAUUCAACCUUAAAGACCAGAUAAAAAAGAAUGAAUUUAGCAUUAUGAAGACUCCUGAUCAACCUAAAAAAACCCUGAUGAUUUUGGUGGUAAAGGGGAAGGAUAAAAAAAAGCAGAAAACAGCUCAAACAAGGUUAAAAAAAACAAAAUAUUUCUUUCUGUUCUUUUGUCAAUCUUCUGGCGAAUAUGAGCUAAACUCCUACACUGUUCAAAAGAGGUAUACACCGUCUCCAGCACGUGGGGUCCAAAAUUGAGUAACAACAAACAUUAUGAUUAACUUCGGCUAAUGGCAUCCUAAAAGGAUGGCCAAGUUGAAUUUGAUGAUUAACUUUAGCUAAUGGCAUCCGAGAUGGAUAACCGGGUUUGAAUUUUAUGAUUAGCUUUGGCUAAUGGCAUUUGAGAUGGAUGACUGGGAUUGAAUAUUAUGAUUAGCUUCGGCUAUUGACAUCCGAGAUGGAUGACCGAGUUUGGAUAUUAUAAUUAGCUUUGGCUAAAGGCAUCCGAAAUGGAUGGCCGGGUUGGAUGUGAGUUAACGUCGGCUAUUAGCAUCCAAAAAGGGAUGACCGGGUUUUAAGUAAUGUGAUUGACUAUGUCUACUGAUGUUCAUAAAGGAUGACCAUGAUAGGGCAAAAUAAUUAACUAUGACCGAUGAAUUAACUCCGGUCCUUACCACUCCCAUGAAGAGGUUGGGAUACGUGAGUAUGGAUAAUGUAGUUGAUGAAAUAAUAAGGGCUAUAUUAUAUAUGAAAGGAUUAUAUUCAUUUAGGCUGUAAACGAAAAGUAACGAUAAUAUUCUUUUAGUUAGUUAUUGUUCUGUUUUAAAUUGUUUAUAAUUCUUGUAUUUAUUUUGUACUGUAACAAGGAUGUCACACCAACAAGGUGGUAGGGAAUCCCGUUCCACGGGUCCACAUGUUUUGAAAAGAACUAUGUACUCGCAUGUUUAAGUUAUUAUGUAUAUUGUAUGAAAAAAAUGUACUAGUUGUGUAAUUUUCGUUCGACAUUUUUGUAUAAACUCGUAAUGAUAACAAUAUUAGAAUAGGAAUGCAAACUUAUGAAUAUAUAAAUAUAAUGUUAUGGGUAUGUGUAUUGAGUACCUUUUAUGGAGAUGUUGAUUUACGCAAUCAUAUGUGUAUUAUGCUAGACUAAUAAAUGGAACCUAAUUACUAAUUCUCAUAAUGCUACUAUGAGAAGCAUCGAGAACGUAAUGGUUUACAAAAAAAAAAAAAAUUUACCACUAAUUUUGAUCAUGAAAGGAUAAGAAAUUUCAAGUCUUUAGAUUUAUCUUAUCACUAUAUGCCUGACACUUCUAGCAUUUUCUGAUAUAUUUUAUGCAAUCCCUUUCCAUGGUCAUCCAGAAAUAUCCCGAUCUCUGUAUUUGCCUAGCCGUCAUAUGUCUACUAGCAAGAGUUGCACAAAUCACUUCAUGAACUUCUUAGAGUGCUUUUUUUAUAUUCUAUCCUAUCCAAACAUCUCAAUAAUGUUCCAUUGGAUGAUCUCUUGUAUAGAGGUUUAUUAUGACCCGUUCCUCUAGCAUCGUGCUCUUCUUUAGUGCAGUAUAGGUAAUUUGUUGCAUAAAUUGUUCCGACCACAUGCUCUAUAGUCUUUUAGGCCAUAUCUUAGGUCACAUAUGUCUUGUUGACACUUUGGAGCGCAUUGCGGUGGGGCUUGGAACUCAAGAUAAGAUACAUUAGGGAUAUCCUGAUAGGGGUUUUCUUCAGCUGCUUUACCACACUAUACUCACUAUGCUUCAUCAGCUUUAGGAAUUCACUGACUUCUUCCUCACUCACGAGUUUGUCUAUUUCGAUAUCUUUGAUGACAUCUACAAUCUCUUUGUCUUUGGCUUUUCAUUGCCUUUCUAGUUCUUCAAGCAUAAAACACCUGUCACUUUGAGUUAAUCCAUCAAUCUCGAUCUAAAACACAAGAGCAGGACCCUUAAUAUUAAGAGAAUUUUUGUAAUUAUGAGACAAUGCAUUAUAGUUCCCAUUGUAGGUAAUCGUAGGCCUUGUCAAGACGAGCUUUGGUGGACCGCUCUCGGUAUGUUGAUGCCUAUAUAUUUUUGCUUUCUUCCUCUUAGAAACUUAUCAUGCCUAUGACAUCAUCCUUUUCUCCUUUUCUAUUUGUAACAGAUCAUGUGUCAUCAUUUGUAUCACCUUCUGGUGAAACUCUUCACAUUCAUCGAUGUUAUGUCCUAUUGCUUCGUGGAACUUACAAAAAAUAUCACUCUUUCCUGGAUCUGAUUCAUUUUUUAUUGGCAAAUACCCAAUUUGCACUAACAUGUCAUACAACCUAUCUAUGAUUACCCUUAAAACCUUCCCUUUCUUUCUUACAAACUCCAUAACAUUUACUCUCCCACUACUAGAAGCAUGAUUAGAUAAGGGUUGAAAUUGAUAUUGGGGGUAUCUUCAAAGGUUAUCUAUCCUGCUUUAAAUAAUUGCAAGAACUUCACCUUCAAUGCUGAGCAAGUAUCAAUACUUUAGCUAGGGUUUCCGGCAUGAUACUUAUAGGUUAGGUAUGGUUCGUAUUAAUUUGAGAAGCGAGGUUUUAGUGGUGGAAAUGGGAGAGGAGCCAUAUGACCUAUGCUUAACAAUUUUAUAUAUAUUUCUCCUAAGGGCAUAGGUAUAUUCAAGAGUUGUUCUUAGUUUCUUUGGUAGUCUUUCUUUGAAUUGUUUCUGGCUUAGUUUUCUAGUAGGUUAGUAGGCUGAUUUACCGGAAAAGGGUUAUCAAAGUUAAUAUUGGAUAUUUGGGAAGAUGGGGCUUGAUAGCUUUGGGUUUAAUAAUUUCAUUUACCUUUAUACUCUUCUUCCACAUUGUUCACUUCAACAUCCCUUUUCUUCCCAGUAUACCCUUUCUUCUUAGCAGGUUUCAAAAUUGUACCAGCUCUUAUUCAUUUUUCUAUUCUCUGAGCAAUAACAACAACAUCAUAAAAAUAUUGGGCAAAGCUAACCACUAGAUGCUUAUAAUAUGAGGACUUGAAAGUAUUAGCAAAUAGAGUCACCAUCUCCUUCUCCAACCAAAGGGGUUAUACAUGCAUUCCCUUAUUUUUCCACCUAUGAGCAUACUCCCUUACGGUUUCCUUGUUGUUAUUCUCUAUCACCAUCAAGCUCGUCCACUCUAGAGCGAUGUCAAUAUUGAGCUUGUGUUAUUUCAAGAAAGCAUCAACAAGAUCACUUCAUUUCUUGAUCCUCAUGUUAUCCAAGGUCAUGUACCACUUAACGUAAAAUCGGUCAAGCUAUCUUGGAAGAAAUGGACGAGCAACUUCUCAUCAAAUAUGAAUUCUGUCAUUUUGUUGCAGUAUGACCUCAAGUGCGUUUGAGGACAUUCCAGUCUCGUAUACUUGACAAGUUCUGGCACCCUAAACUUCUUGGGCACUACUACAUCUAGCACCAAGCAUAUCUCAUCUGCUCUAACUGGGUCAUAAACGUCAAAUCCCUUAACAACUUACAAUUAAUUUCUAAUAUUUUCUUGUAUUGAUUUAUGGUCAACUCUCAACAUCCUCAAGUUAACUUCCAAAAUAGUUUUUGUCAUCCAUAAUUAUCCUUUUAAGGUAUGCUAACAUUUUGUUUAAUAUUUUUCCUUAUCAAGUCUUCUCUAUAAAAAUCCACCACAAAAUCACAAAGAGAGGUAGAUUAAGAGGUUAAUGAAAGAAAAAUCAAGUUUUUCUUAUUGAGGGCUAUGGUUUCAAAGAAAAAAAAAGGAGAAAGAGAAGUGAUUUUGUGGGUGCCAUCCAAGCUUUGAUCUUCCAUUUUCAUCUUAUUUGAAAGGUAAUAUACCCUCUCAAACUAAGUUUUUGUUGUGUUUUUGUGAUUGUGGAAAGUUUGAGACUCUUAGUAUAUUUAGAAAAUUAUUUUAUGUUGUUGUGAUGGGAUGAUUGUUGAUUUGAUGAGAAAUUGGUGGCUAAUUGGAUGAAUAAGCAAUGGGUAAGGUUUCAAUCUAAGAAAAAAUUUGAAGAAAAAUUAUCCUUCCCUUUUUAUAGGGUUUUGGCCAAAACAAUAAAUUAAAGGGGGAGAAUUGUUAACAUGAGAUUUUAUUGGUGUGUGUUAGAUUGACUAUUUGAUGAAUGUGUGAAGAAUUAAUUGAGAAAAAUUGGAAAGAAAACAUACCCCCACCUAAAUGGAAGCAUUCAACCAAAUGAAGAAAAUUGGAUGGAUUGGUGUGUUUGAAUACAUUGAUAAUUGAAAAGGGGUAGAAUUGCAAUGAAUUAAUUAUAAGAUGAUUAAUUGAUAACUUGGUUUUAAAAAUUUUAAGAAGAAAACAUAUACUUCUUUUUUUGGUGUUUUCAACCAAAAGGUAAAUGAAUUGUAUUGGAUAAGUAAAUUGUUUAUGUAUUGAUUUCUUUUCCAUAAAUGAAGUUAAUGUGAUGAUAUGAUGCAUGGAAAUUGUGUAGUGUAAUGAAAAUUUUAAAGAAAAUGUGUUUUCUUUAAAUGGUGGAAAAAAAACAAAUGACUUAAGAUAGAAAGAAAGAAAAAUAUUAUAAAAGGAACUUGAGUUUUCUUGAUUUCCAAACUCAAAGAGAAUUCAAGACAUCUACCAUUGAGUUGUUAAAAUUUGCAGGAGAGACUAUUGAGGGGGUACCGAGACAGGAUCCCACAGAUAGAGCUCAAACGUCAAGCAGGUGCUCGAGACCUUAUUAAUUCUAUUCUAUUUAAAUAUGUUAAAACAUCAUAUUUAAAUUAUUUAUUAUUCAAUUGUAUUAUUAUCUAAUAUGAUAUUGUACCCUGUUCUAGGCUGGAUGACUAGUUCUUUGGUUUAAGGACUAUUUACCCUGUUUUGGGCUAGAUGACUAGUUCUUUGGUUUAGGUUUAAGGAAUAUUUACCCUGUUUUGCGCUAGACGACCAGUUCUUUGGUUUAAGGAUUAGUGUCAUGUUCUAGGAUGUGAAACUAGAUACCUUGAAUAGGAUUAAUGCUCUAUUUCUGGACGGUGAGGAUUUUACCUUGAAUGAGGUCUCAUUACCCAGGUCGGGUAAAGGAAUAAAUCUUUUGGAUGUUCAAGGGAUUGUUGUAAUAAAUGUGAAGAAAAGAUGAAUAGGAAUUAAGUUAAUUGUUAACUAAAUUCCUAAUUGAUAUGUAUACCUUAGUUUACUCGAUACAAUCUAUUAUAUUGGAUUGGAAAACUUUAUGUUAUAUUAAUGAAUUACUUUAUCAUAUAGAAUAAUUUCAGGAUCCUUGCAGCUUUGCUGGGAUUAGUAGACGACGAACCCUUGCAUUUUUUAUUUAUAAGAAUAUUAAUUAUGUUACAUUCUAUAAGUAAUUUUUAGGAAUGAUAGCAUGAAUGUAAAUAUUGUAUUGUAACUAUAAUGCUAUGAUUUUAUGAUGUUUGGAACUUAAAUAUUAAUUAAAUCCAUGAAUAUCUGAUGUAGAUUUUAAUUUGAUAAUGUUUGUGUUAAAUUCCUAACGUAGUAGUUAAAUGAUACUUAGUUUAAUUUAUAAGUGGUCAUGUUCCAAUUAUUGUAUGGAUGAUUCAAUUGGAAAAUUUCAAGUAGGAAUUUUAUAUUGGCGUAACUUAAUUUAAAUGGCUUUUCAAAAAAAAAAUUUAUUGAGAAAUAAAAAUUAUUAAACUUUUGUAUGAGGAUUAAAUAAUGUAACAUGGGGAUGUUACAUUAUGCUUUUUAUAUUUUAAAAAUUUGAACAUUUUAUAUUGAUAAGUAUAUGUAUGUAGUGAACUAUAAUGAAAUGUGAUAGAUGUGAUGUGUGGAGUUGUGAUGUGAUGAGUCCAGAAUGAUUGGACAAUGAAUGGAAUGUGAAUUGAUUGAAUAUUGAAGUGUAACAGGUUUUUAGUUGAUAAGUUGGGAUCUCCUGAUAUAGAGGAGAUUAUAUCAAAAUUUCAGUAAAUUUCCGAAUCUAAAAUUUUAUAUAUAUAUAAACUUCACUCUAAAAAUUGUAAUAUUCAUGAAAAACUAAGUAAAGAUUGCAUAUAAUUAAGGAUGUUACAUUUCUUCUAUCAUUUUUCUCUUUAAUAUAUCUUGGUCUAUUCUAACCUUUAGAGGAAAUGUUUAUAUAGAGACAAUGACUUCUAGCUUCUUAGUGAUUAUAUCUUUAACAUAGAUCAUCAUGUGAUCAAUAUUGCUAACCUCUAUAAGAGCUAGUGAUAUCCUGUCGAAUAAUAAUCCUUCAAGUGCACCUCUUUCAAGCAACAUGAUUGGUGCUGGAGGUGGUUUUUUUUAACUGUUUUUUUGUUAGUGCAAUAAUAUCUAUGACCUAUUUUUUUAGACAAUGUGCAUGGCUAAACAUCCUUUCUCCCUUUACCAACGUGCUUAGGCAUUGCAUCCUCCUACCUUUAUUUCCAUCUUCUUUCCAAAUCUAGGAGAUGUUGGUGGUGACUGACAAGAUUCUCCUCCUCCUCAUCACUAAACUUGGAUAACUUCUACUCUAAAUUGUGUGCGUACCAAUCAUUAUCAACCUUUCUUUUAAACCUAAAUUCUUUGGCCUGUCCUUAAAGCAUUACUUGUACAACAUUAGACCCCAACUCAUUACCUUUAGGAAAAUUCAUAUGGUAUGUAAGACAACUAUAUACCUUAUCAUGAAUUAUAUCUUUUGCUUGUCAAACUAUGUUUUUUUCCCAUUGUAUGUACCUUUUCCCAUUACUAGUAAUUGUGACCAACAAUUGACUCUAUCAUGAUCAAUAAGCCUUUAUCUUUUGGAGCUCUCCUUCUCUAAGGACCCCAACAGUCUAGAGAAUAACCACUAUUGUAAUGACUUUAGAUAAUGGAUUAUCAUCCAUUUUUGUUGAUAUGAACCAAGUCAGGUCUGAAUUUGGCCUUAAAAUGUUUGCUAACCAGUCUUGCAAGAUAGGACAUAUUUCUCAAACUGUACAUCAUAAUGAGUUGACAAAUUACAGGGAGAUACUAGACACAUGUAACUAUAUUUUGGUAAUUGUUUAGGUCAAAUGAACUUCAAAAACAUAUUAUUUUAGAGGGUUGAAAUUACUAGACAAAUCUUGUCAAAUUUACCAGACUAGAUCUUUGUACACUGUUUGGACAUAUCUGGAGUUACAUGUGGAAUUUCACUGAGAUUCAAGUUGGGCUGAAAACUAUACAUCACAAGUUUUCCAAUAAUAUAUGGAAGGCCUAGUAAUUCAUCCAUACAAAAAAGAAUGACGUGUUUUAAAUCAGGACUGGAGAUCUAUUAAGAAUAUGCGAAAAUUAAAUAUUCGGCUACAUAGAAGAAUUUUGGCAUGAAGACUUUGUUUUUUUUGUUUAAAUAGAGGCAUUAUUUUUAUUUCCCUAAUAAUUAAUUAACCAUAAGAGGAAAGAAAAAAAACCUUGGUUGAUGUAUGAAAGGUGUAAAAUAUAUCAGAGUUAAAAAUAGAGGCGACAAAAUAUAAUAUUAUUCUAUUCUAUUUAUUUUUGAAUAAUUAUUUUUAAUUUGAAUUUUUUUUUUGGUUCAUUAGACAUUGUUUAGGGGUUUAUUACAUUAUUGAACUUAUGUUAGUUGAUUACUAGUUUAGGUUCAUUAGCUUGCAAGCUAAAAGAUGUUCAUUAAGGUUAGUUAGAGGAGACUAUAUUAUGUUUUUUUAGCUGCAAAUUUUAGCAGCAAGUUGGAGAAUAAUUUCCUUUUGAUUGUUUGUAACAAAACAACCUUUCUUUAUAGGGACAAAGAUCGUACACAAGUUUAUCGAAGAUUAACUGGUUUUGUGGUGUUAUUUGCAUACUUAGGGUUCUUAGAUAUAAGGUUGUCUUUGGGUCCAAGUUUUUUUUCAAAUAUCUUUGGUUCUUAGGUACAUGAUUUCUCUGGGUCAAGGUUCUAUCAAACUUGAUUUUUAGCUUUUCAGGUUAUUAUCUACUUCGUUGGGGGUUACUUGGCCAUGUGAUCAAGAGGUCCGCAUCAUUUAUCUUCUGAUAUGAAAAAUGGAUAUGUCUAGAUUCCAAAGCCUUCUAGAUUUUAUUUCUAAAGAUUAUAUAACUAUUUUUUUUCAUGUUUCUAAGAGUUAUGAAACUUGCAGUAUUGCUUCCCUUGACUUUAUUAGCAAUAAAGAUUGUAUGAUUUCUAAGGAGCUUAAUUUUCCUCUCACGCAUUAAUUGGUCAAGGAUUUCUUCAGCUCUUUUAAUGUCAAAAUAGUAUUCCUUGUCUUCAACUACUUUUAUAGAAUUUGUUUCCUUGCUACCAAGUUUAACAACCUUUUUAGGCUUUCUUAAUGCCAUGACCUUAAAUGACCUUAAAUGGUCUCUCAUCUUUUAUUUCAGCGACCAAUAUGAGAUGUUGUUGAAUUUCCUCAAACUCUUUAUUGGAGGCUUCAUCAAUCAUGAUACGACAUUGUAGGAAGAGCUAAUAGGGUAAGUUCCUCUUAAUGGAUUCUUAUAUGUUGUUUUUGUUAGCUUUGCAACAUCAUCCGUGAUAUCUAAAUAUUUAGUUUCUAUAUACAUUCCCUCUCUAACAGUAACUUUAUGCACUAAGUCCCUCUAGCAGUAUUAAACUUGGUGCUCUUUCAGUAUUCUCCUUAUUAAUUAUAUGCAUAUACGAUGAAUUUCACUACCAAAAAAUCGAUAAAUACAAAAAAAAAUACCGAGGGAAUUACAGUGGGGAAAAAAUUAAAACAAAGCAAAAAAAAAUUUUGACGUGUCAUUUUUACCAACGGAAUUACCGAUGGAAUUAUUUCGUCGGUAAAUUCGUUGGUAAAUUGUGAACACUGUUCAUCAUGUCAAUUACAAAGGAAAUCACCGAUGAAAUUUUCCGUCGGUAUUUUCCAGAGAGCUCCAGAACUGUUCACUUUCCAAUUGCACUGUUAAUUGUUGUUCUUUAUGGACAAAAUCACCGACGGAUUGAAAAGCCGUCGGUGUUAUUUGGUGGUUUCAGAAAAAAUUCAAUUGAUUUAAAAUUUUCAUUUAAAUAUUACAAAGGGAAUCACCGACGGAUUGAAAAAUCAUCGGUAAUUGUUGGCGGUUUCUGAAAAAAAUUUACGAAAUUGAAAAUUUAAAUUAAAUAUUACUGAUGGAAUUACCUACAGAAUAAUUAAAAAAUAUUAAUAUUCAAUUAUCCGUCGGUAAAUCCGUCGCUAACGCGCCCCAAUAAAAAGGCUGAAUCCCCUUAUUUCACAAAAGACAGACUCAUUUCUUAUUCUUCUUCUUCUUCUACUUCUUUUUCUUCUUCUUCACUAUAUGUAAAAAACAUCAAUAUCUAUUUCUUUCUCUUCUUUUCUCUCCUCAUCCCCUUCUCUUUUUCUCCAUGCUCGGGUAUGUCUUCUUCUUCUUUCUUUUUUUAUCCUCUUAGUUUUUUUUUAAUUAAUAUGCUUUACAAAAAAAAAUUUCUCUUCUUAGCUUCACUUGCAACUACAUUAAGGUAAGAUUUUUCUUUUUUCUUCUUUUUUCAUGAUGUUUUUCACUAUAUUUGUUUUUUAUUUUAUUUUUAAUUGUUUUUGUUCUUAAUAAUUGUAUAAAUGUUGUUGUGAGAUUUGUUUUUUCAUAUGAAAUCAAUUUUUAGUUGAUUUAUUUAUAGGAUUUUUAAAUUUUUAGCAAUUGCAACUUUAUUUUUUUCAUAUGAAUUUUUUUUUUAGUUGAUUUAUUUGUAGGAUUUUUAAAUUUUUAACAAUUGCAACUUUAUUUUUUUCAUAUGAAAUCAAUUUUUAGUUGAUUUAUAUUAUAGAGUGUUGAUUUAUGUUAAUUUAAUUAUUUUAUAAUUUUAUAAAAUGAAUUUUUUAAAAUGUUUUUAAAUAAUUACCGACGGAAUUACCAAUGGAAUUUCCGUCGAUAUAUCCCUUGGUAAAUCCGUUGGUAAUAAAAAAAUAUUAUUACCGACGCGUCUGUUCCAUCAGUAAAUUCAUCGGUAAUAAUAUUUUUUUAUUACCAAUAGAUUUACCGACGGACAAAAAAUUAUCGAUGAAAGAUUCACCAAUGGAGCAUUUCCGUCGGUAAUCUUAUUGGUAAAUUAAUUACCGAUGAAAUAUGUGUCUUAUGUCGAUGAAAAAAUUUCAUCGGUAAAACAGUUAAAUGUUGUAGUGUUUCUACCAAAUCAAUAGACGUGUGAAAUUAAUUCUUCAUAUAUAGUUUACUUUUUUUUUUUUUGAUAACCCGGGGUGUCCGGACCAGUUUGCGCGCACCACGACUAUUCCCCGGGUCUACUGAACAUCCUGCAAGCCCAGUAGACAGGUAAGGCACCACGGGAGUGACAGGCGUGCACAUGGAAGAUCGAACUCGGGACAGGAGCAAAGCAAGCCUCACCUGUUGACCACUGAGGUAGACCCUCAAGUGCUAUAUAGGUUACUUCUUGAUUUAAUUAGUCGAAGCUGAGAGAAAGAUUACAUAUAUGGACCCACCUUUCCGCUCAAGUAUUGCAUAAUCUACUGAAAAUCACGCCACUUAGCCGGAUGAUUAUAUAGUGUCUGCUAACAUUUCGUAACAAAACCAAAUUUCAUAAAUGUCAUUUUCCUUUGCUUCCGCAGACGGCAUGCCUCAUUUUCCUCAGGUCUGCAAUGUGCAGGGCUUGCUUAUUCAUGGGGUGCCCCAUCAAUGCAGCAACAGUGAGAGAAAUCAAAAUUUCCCUUGUAGUUUACAACUAAAAUCAUGAGCAACAUAUUCUCCUCUUGCGCAAGCUAGGGUGCACUCAAUAUCUACAAUGACCUUUCUUAGAUAACAAAAUAAACCCUAGAAUUACACCACACUCUUUGCAGCGCAUUCACAAGAGGACGUUUCACAACCUUUUACCACUUUUCCCGCGUCAACCCUUCCUUUUUGUCGCAUUUUAAAAUCGGAGUCUUGCACCCCAUUUGGUCUCCAUCUCUCACCUAAGGAUCCAAGACCAACUCUCUCAUUAUCAGAAAUUAAAGAAGAAGACGACGACCAACUCUCUAACUAUCAAAAAGAAUAGAAGAAGAAGACCAACUCUCCCCCACUCAAAUCCCUAAGCAAUGCAACUCGUCAAGAUAAUCUUCGUUAUAGCUAUAACAACGGCUUUCUCCAUCGCUCUCACAAUGAAAAGUGUUGUCGAAGUUGAAGAGAAACAACCAUAUGAGCAUAGUAUUGAUACAUCAACGACAUUGUCUCAAGGGCUUAUCAUGCAUGAUGAAAAGAAGCUAAUGCCUUCAAAAAGGUUGAGUCGGUUCCUCACAGAAGAAAAAAACCCUAGAGCAGCUGACCACUGCUACAAAGACAAUGAAAUAUGCCAUAUUCAGCAGGGUAAAAACCAUAAAUGUUGCAGCAACAAGUGCAUGGACUUAAAUACAGACAAACACAACUGCGGUUCAUGCAAGAGAAAGUGUAAAUACACAGAAGAUUGUUGCAGAGGAGAGUGUGUACUGCUUUCUCUUGAUAAGAGGCACUGCGGGAGGUGCAAUAACCGGUGCCAGGACGGAGAAUUUUGCGUCUAUGGAAUGUGUAAUUAUCCAUAAGAAGGAAUUGGGAUGAGGUUCGUUAUUUAUUCAUAAUACAAUAAUAAAAUAAAAUAAAAAACCCACAUUUGGGUGGUUCUCCCACGAUUUAUAUUGCUAAUUACUUCUUUUUAUAAUGUUGAUAAAAAAACGAAUAUAAUUUUUUUCAACCCUCCAGGAUUUAUCUCUAUGUAAUACUACAAUGAAAUUUAAGUAACACGUAUUUUUUCCUUAUCAUUGAUCGCAAUUCACACAACUUUUGGGUUAACGACGUCAAAGGGGAAACAUAUAAGAAUAUAUUUUUGAGUUAAUAUAAUUCUAUGAAUUCAUGAGUUCUGCUCAUUGUUUUCUAACUAAAAUUAAAUCAGAUUCAAGUGGUGUGGUUUUCUUGGGAUCGUUAAUCAUAUUUAUUCAAAUGCAAAGAAAAUUAAUUCAAUCUCCUCAUAUCCAUUCCUUUCAUGAAUUAUAUAUAUAUAUAUAUAUAUAAAAGGGCGGAUCUAUAUACAAGACUUGGGUGGGCUAUAGUCCAGGUUAAAAUUUUAUCAAUAUAUUUUUUUUGUACUAUUAUUAUAUCAAUCCAAGUUACAUUUAAUUAAAUUAGCUCAAGAAAAAUAAGUUUUGUCCAUAAAAUUAGCAACCUUCUUUUUAAUUAAAAUUUCUAUCUUUUUGAGUUAAGAGAGUCAAAUUCAAAAAUCAUAUUCCCAUCGUGCUAGACUACUUAUUGUUUGUCUACAUAUUUAACUCACAAAAUUUAACAAAAGCAACACAUCUUUCUUUCUCCAUUUAUUGUAUGGUACUAUCCAUCACACAAAUUCAACUCAAUCUUGUCUUAACUACUAAAACAUUACUUCAAACUUUAAAAGAUGUUGGAUUUGAUAUUCUCCUUGCACAUGUGCAAUCUGUUUGCACACAAUAUGAGAUUGACGUGCAUCAUAUAAAAGGCUACAAGUCAUUCAUGUCAGCAACAAGGAUUGGUGAGAAUUUACUAACAUUGUCAUUAUAAUAUACUUAACUGAGCAAUAGAUUUUUAUUUGGAAGAGUUGAAUUCUAGAUUCAAUGAUGGGACAAUAAAACUUCUUGUACUUGGCUCUUUUUUAGAAUCUAAGGAUAACUUUAAAUCAUUUAAAGUUGAUGUUAUUUAAAGCUGAUGUUAUUUAAAGCUUGUUGAUAAUUUUUAUCCUGAAGAUUUCAAUGAAUAAGAGAUGCAUUUUUAAGAUCUCAACUAAAGUAUUAUCAAAUUGAUUUGAUUUAUCAUAAGAGCUUUCAGAAUAUGUCUACCAUUUUUGAAUUAUGUAGAUGAUCGAUUAAUGAAAACAAAUAAGUUGUAACACAAUCAUUUGAUUAACAAGUUGAUUCGUCUUAUUUUGACUUUGCAAGUUUUCAAUACUGCCACCAAAAAGUGAGCAUUUUUAGCUAUGAAGCAUGUUAAAAAUAUGUUUCAUAAUAAAAUAAAAGAGGAGUUCUUAGCAUAUUUUAUGAUGAUUUACACUGAACGAGAGUUUGUUGAAGAUAUCUAUUUAGAUUCGAUUAUAGAUGAAUUUUAUUCCACAAAACAUCGAAGGGUGCAAUUUCAAUAGUGAAUUUAUUUUUACUUUCACUUCAAUUUUAUGUAUUUUCAAAUUUAUUUUUUUAAUAUUUUGAGUCAUGUAUUUGAAUUAAAAUUUUAUUGUUAAUUUUAUAAAUUCAUGUUCAUGAGUUAAUGAUUGAUCUUAAAAAAAAUUAUAUAUUUGUUUAGCAACCCAGGGCGGAAUAAAUUUCUGGCUCCGCCCUUGUGUGUGUGUGUGUGUUAGUUGGUUAUUGGCUGCAAUUCUAAAAGUACAUAAAUUGCAAUUAUUUUUAUCCAAAUUAUUUUGUUCUCACUUUAUGGUUGAAAUAGUAGGUUAUGAGCAUAUAUAGAGGUUGUCACACUUUAUGAAUAUAUGGCAUCGCAGUUUUGUAGGAACCGUUUGCUCUUCUUGGAGUAUAUUUUUUGUGUUUGAACAAUACCUAUAUUUCUAAAGUUUCUUCAUUUGUUCGGCUGGGACAAUAACAUGUGUGUGUGUGUUUAAUAAGCAUGCAAGAAAUGUUCCUUUUUAAGAAUUUACGAAUUACCUUUGCGUCUUAUGUAAAAUCAGAUUAGAAGUGAAUUAUUAUGCGACCUUAAGCAAAGUCAUCCUUUAUUAUCUAUAACAUAAUGUUAUUCUUCUAAGUGCGUGUUUGGCGCCGCGACUGCGACUGUGUUUACAGAAAAACAUUAUUGUCAUGUGUUUAGUUACAAUCUAUUACUGUUUGUGGGACCAUGACCAUUUGCGGUUAAACCGCAAGACAACCAAAAGCAACUUCAAGCUGUUUUUUGUGCUGAGUUGCAAACUGUGUUUAUAAACAUAGUAAAUAGAGACGCGUAAGAAGAAGAACAGAAACAGAGCAAUGAACAGUGCAUAGUGGAGAGCAACUCCCUCAGUUUACCACCGGCUUUCACCAUUUCCACUGCCAAACACUAAUCUUCCUCUUCCUCUUCCCCUUCUCCUUCUCAUUCGUCUUCUGCAUUAUCCAUUGUUCAUGUUGCAUGUGAACAGUGGAGAGCAGCUCACAACCGGCCUCCGCCGUUUCCACCGCCAGCCACUUCUCCUUCUCCUUCUCCUUCUCCUUCUCCUUAUGCAUUCUCCAAAGUUCACGUGAACAAUGAAUAGUGGAGAGAAUCUUCAAUGUUCAUGGUUGGACUGGGUCCGACCCACAUCUAAAUGCCCAGUGUCUGGGUCCGACCCAAUAAAAUAAAAAAAAUCCAAAAACAUUUCUCAGAUAAUAUGUUUUAUUUGAAAAACCAGUGUUUAACAUUAUUUAAUGACAUUACAUAAUUAUAUUAGAAGAAGAUCGCAUGAUGACGUAGCAUUUGCAGAAUUUGAUCGCAAUCCCAAUUUUGUUCCUGAUGAUAUUUUACCUGAUGUUGUUGCACGCUCAGGAAGCCAUGAAAACUGUAGUCUUUGUCAGAUGGAUCUCGUACGUGAUGGAAUUGCAAAUAGUUUAAUGGAACAAUAAAAAAUACUUUAUAUAAAUUAUUGUUUAUUUCAUGAUGUAAUAGCAGUAGUUAAAUGUACAAUAUUUCAAUUAAAAAUCAUUAAUAUUAAUAUGUCUUUUUUAGUUAUUUUAUAACCUCAAUUUGAAAAGCAUUAUUAACCAAACACAUUAAACUACUUUUUGUUCAACCUCAAUUUCAACCACAGUUUUAACCAAACAUAUAUUUUUUUCAAAUCAACCUCAACUAAAAGUACUUUUUAUAAAAACAACUUUUUUCAAACCACAACAGCUACCACAAUUCCAAACACACUCUUAAUAAAGAUCUUUUCAAUCGUUUUUAUUUUUUUAAAAUAAGAAAGUUUAAUUCUAGUAAAACUUGAAGUGUGUGUAUGUGUGUGUUAUUAACAAAAACGAAAGUAUGUAGGUUAAAUACUUUAGCAUUUUUUACUGUUCACCAUCUCAUAAUUAAUUGUGAAUAUUAACAAAAACUAAAGCAUAUAGGUUAAAUACUAUAACAUGUUUUACUGUGAAUUGUAAUAGUGAGUUUUUUUUAAAAAAAAAUUAUUUUGGUCCUCAAACUUUUUUCUUAUAUAGUUGGGUCAUUUUGAGCUCAAAUUAGUACCCAAUUGCAUGUUUUUUUAGAACAAAUGGUUGAAUUGAAAGAAAUAAGACUAAAGUGAAAAAAGCAGGUAAAAUAGGUGAUAAUUUUAAAUUUUAUGUUAAAAGUUCAUUUUAGCCUUACAUGUUUUUAACUAUUAGGUAAUAGGUCUCUUUAAUUUUCAAAAAUUUAAUUUUGGUGUCAAAGUUUAUUUCCCACAUUUUUAGUUCUUUUUUGGUUAGAGGACAGAGAGGAAUUCUCAUAUUCUAGUGUAGAGAAAAGAAGUUGUUAUUGACGACAAUUCUAGCCAUCAAUAGGUUGGAUUUAAUGAGGUAGAUUUGACCGCGAGAAUAAUUUUGGGUUUGAGAUGUCUUUUUAGUUUGUUUUUGAGAUAAUACUCUAUUAAAAUAGUUUGAUUUUAAAAUGUAUUUUUUGUUUUGCCAAACAUGACUUUAAUCUAAAUUAAAUAAAUAUUUUAAUUUUUUAAAAGAUCAUCUUGCCAUUAAUUUCAAGUUCCCCAUAUUUUUUAACCCCUUCAUAUUUAAUAUUUGAAUUUAUAAUCUACACGCGAUGUAUUUUUUUAAUAUUAAAUAAAUCAGUUUCCUUCUAUAAAAAUAAUAAAAUAUCUUUUUUUUAAAUACAAUUUUAUUUUAAAUUACAUACAACUAAAUUUCUAAAAAACUAAAAAGAGGAGCAUAAUCAUAAUCUUGCCCUUAAACUCUACUUCUUCUUGCUUUUGUCGGCGAUGGGCUCUGUACCCCCCGCAGGUGGCUAGAAAUGCGACAACCAACGCUACAGUUGCCAUCUAAGAGUGCGAGGGAUUGCCCCUCGCGCUGCGCAGCCUCCAACGUGAGGCUUCUUCCUCGAGAUAGGCUUCCAGCAGCGCUUGACAGUGCUGGCGUGAGGCUUUAGCAGCAGCUAUGGGUUGCUGCUGAUGAAGCGCUGGCAACCUCUCACGCCUGGCACUACUUACAGCAGCGCCCAUGAUAGCCAUGAAAAUUGACCUUUUUUUUUAGAAUUUCUGGUAAAUUCCGACCAAAAUAUCAUAUCCUAGCCAGAUUCAAAUAAUCGAGUCAAAUAUGAUCAAAACAAUAGCAAUUUAUAUUGGUUUUUAAAAAAUACAGUAGAGAAAAAAUAAUUUUAAAAAAAUAAUUUUUUCACAUAAAAUUAAUUCAAAAUUAAUGUGAAUAACAAUUAGAAUAUGCAAUAAUCCUAAUUGUCUAAUGAUUACUUUGAUACCAGUAUUUCAAAAUCCUUAUACAUAGCAGAAACUAUAAAUUUAAAAUCUUUUCAAGAGUUUCAAUGAUCUUGUUAGAUAAAUUUAGGGUUGUUUAGGGUUUAUAUAAUGAAUACUUGAAGAUAAAUUUUUUUUUUUUUACUUUGAAUAAUUGCUUUAAGGUUGGGUUAAUGUAAACCACUAUCUAAAUGUUCGGCUUUUAACAGUAAUCUAUACGAACCACUAGUUAGAAAUCUCUUAAACCCUUUUAGGUGAGAAAAAUUCUUAUAUAUUUAAGUGCUAACUUUUUAUAUAUAUUUAGGUAUUUCUAUAUUGUACUCUUCUAACAUGAAAUAAGAGACAUUAUUUUUUAUUUAUAGGCAAACUUAAAAACUCUAUAAAUAGCAAAAUAUUAAUUUUUCACUUAAAUAAUAUCACAUAUAUUAUUUUAGUCUAAUUUUAGAAAUUUAUUUAAUUAAGUCCUUACUUGAUUGUUUCUAGGUCUAAAAUCAUAAUUCUAUGUGUUAAUUACAUUCUAGUCCUUAAUUUCUAAAAUUUAUUUACAAUCAAGUCACACUUGAUUAAUCAUCAUUUUAAUUUCUGACCAAUGGUUCUUAUAUGUAUGAGUCAUUAGAUUCUCUAAUAAGUUGACCAAAAUAUAAAUUAUAAAAUAAAAUAAUUUAUUAUUAAUUCAAUAAUCGAUUGAUUUAUAUUUAAAGAUCAAGUACAAUAUCUAGCAACCUAUUAUGAUCCCUUAAAUAUUAGAAAAGUAAUAAGUAGUUUGACUUAACAUUUCAGUGAUUGGUUUCUCAAUAUAAUAUUAUUAUUGCUUCAUCAACAAUGUUAUGAUUUAGACAUUAUAGCAUGAAGUGUGUCUACUCCGUCAAAUUAUGUUUGCUCUUAACACCAUAGUCAUUGAUUCUUUGAAUAAGUUUUGAAACUAUUUUGAAAUCUCAUUCCACCUUAUGCAAAAAUUUACAAUCAAUACUAUUUGAGAACAAGUAAAAUGUUUUUCUUAAUUCACCUCGAGUAAUGAAUCAUCUCUUGAUUACUUAAAUAUCUUUAUAUAGUUCAUAAUAUACUCAAUAUUUAUUCAUUUGUUACCCUUGAUUAGGACAAUGUGUAACAUGAUCAUAGCAUAACAUUCUCUAUAUAAAAAAACUCAGUGAUUUCAAGUCUAAAAAUCACUUAUACAACCGUCACGUUAGUCUUUUUAUAAACAAUAAUGAUCUCUUCAUAUGAAAUUCUAUCAGAGUCAAUUCAGUGUACAUGUUAUCUGACAAGUAACAUAUUAGUUCUAGAUAUCCCUCAUCCCUCAUCCCUCAACUUAUUAGUACAACUAUUUCAUUUCAUAAAGGAAAGAAUAUAAUAUGUAUCAUUCUUAACUACUCUAAUUAAUAUCCAGUUUUAAGAGAGUAUUGGUCAAGAACAUUUUAUAAAAAAUACUUUGAUGCAAUAAUAAUUUUAUAAUUAUAAUAAUUUUAUUUGUAAAAUAUUUUUGUUUCAAAAAUUUUAUUAUUAUAGAUUUAUUAAUCAAAUAUUUAAUAAAUACUAAAAAUAAAUAAAUUUUUAUUAAUAAAUUAAAUAUAUUUAGAUGAAUAAAAUCUGCGUAACUAUUUAAUUGAUUAUCCCUAAUUGGAACAUGAUCUGUAAGGUUACAACUUAGAAGAAGCCAACAAAAAUAUCUGCACUUGAGACGUUUAAAGCUGCUAAUAUCUCUUAUCUCUUCCUUCGAUUUCCCACCUUACCUCGCCCGGAUAGUUGAGAGAAAAAUGUUUUCUUCCUCAGUCUGCAUGCCGAUUUCACCAUCUUCCCACUCUCUCUUGAAAGCAAAUCACAAUCCUCUUCAGGGAUCGAAACCAUCAUGUUCUCCUUCGAAAAUAAGAGCUUCUUAUUUGACUACUCGAGCUCUUCUCUCAACUACCAAAGAAACAGUGUUGAAGGACUUCCAUGAGCGAAGAGCUCUCAAGGCAUAGCUAACCCCACCUUCUUUGUUUCUUGCAUUUAUGUCUUUUGUAGCUUCUUGGUUAUUCUUUUUUGAAGUGGACGUUCCCGUUUUACUCAGGAAACCCAAAUACCUAAUAACCAGAUAUUUCUCUUGUUUCAGCAAUGUCAUAUAUACAAUCAUGAUGUUCAAAAUUCUGUUUUCUUUGCUUUGAGAAAAUCCCAUCUUCUUUUAAUCUUUUCCUUUGAAUGUCAUGGAUUUUACACCCUUCAUCUGGAUUCAUUUUGAAUUUUGGCCUUUCAAUUAUAUUUGAGAACUAUAUUUUUGUUGUGUCCUCUACAGAUUAUCUCAGGUUUGCAGAAUUUUAAUAAAGAAAAUGUUGCUUCAGUUGUUACUGCUGCGGACAAGGUUUGCAGAGAUUCUUUGUUAUCAGAUAUAUAAGUUGCUGCGGUUUUUUAUUUUAUUUUAUUGCGAUCCAAUAUCAUUAAAUGUGCAGGGGGGAGCAACUCAUGUGGAUAUAGCUUGUGACCCAGAAUUAGUGAAGCUUGCCAUUAUCCUAACUUCCCUGCCUGUAAUAUUUCUCACUCUUUAAAUGGCUAUAGCUUGAUUCUUCUUUUUUUCGUAUUAUAUACAUAAUCAGAGAAAACUUUCUAAUAAUUUUUAGAAAACUAUUUUAACUGGGGAGUCUCAAUGACUUUCAUAUGCACAUGCUUAUAUAUCGCUUCUAUUUUAUCACAUUUGCAUGUUUUAAUUUACUGAAAUACGGAUUAGAUGACAUUCUAGGUGUUUUUACCACAAUAUAUCUUUCUUAAAGCUUACAUGCUUUUCAUGUCACAAGUAAUGGUCCCUUCAACACCAGAUUUGGAAGUUCCGGGUUGGUGCAGGGUUCCUCCCUUCAUAAUGUCAGCAAUAAACUAAAGAAAAAUAGAAAGGGGAAAUGUCAUAGAAACAAGCAUUUUGUAAGACCAAACCACUAAUUGGCAUCUAUUCUGGCCUUAAAUCCUGAUGUUAGGAUAUUUCAGUGAUUUGUUUGCACUAUCAAAACCGUCAAUUGCUGCCCAAUGAUCGAACUUAAAGACCUUAAUUCUUAAUAGCAAGAUCCUGAUAGAGCUGAAAAAUGUUCAGAGUCGUGCAUGUAGAUAUAGCUCCAAACAUGUUCAAAAUCAUACAUACCAUUUUCUUUUUCUUUAUUUCAUUUGGAAUUUCCCAAACUUGCAGGUUUGUGUUUCUUCAGUGGAACCAAGAGCAUUUCUAGCUGCUGUUGAAGCAGGAGCACAGAUGGUUUGAUCACAAAUUAACUCAUUUGCUUUCACUUUAUUUUUUACGCAAAUCUUUGAUCUUGGACAUCAAUGGCUUCUUAAGGAGGCAUAUGUAAGCUGAAAUGCAAAAUGAGAAAGCAAUUGUGUUGCCAUGUUAACAAGACUGAUGGUCUUUACAGGUGGAAAUUGGAAAUUAUGAUUCGUUUUAUGAUCAAGGAGUGGUUUUCUCUCCAGAGAAGGUAUCAAUCAACUCUUUAUAUGAUCAUGAGAAAGUAUUUUCUUCAGUUAUAAUUGAUUUCUGGGGUUGAACCUUACUCUACACGGUACUUUGAGCAAAUACUGUUUCCAAUUUCAGGACUUUCCAGUUCUCAAUGUCAUCAAUUAUCUACACUGUAUAGUCCAUCCUGUUCCCAACAUCUGUCACUAAUGCCCCAAAAUAAAAAGGCCUCGGAUAUUACUUUUUCCAACUGUCCAGAUUAGUCUUUCUGGUUUCUACAGUUCUGUUUCUGCUUUCUUAUUUAUAGAAGAAACUUGUGCAGAUAUUAAAUCUGACAAAGGAGACUAAAAGGAUUCUUCCAUCCGUGACAUUAUCAGUCACUGUUCCUCACACCCUAAGUCUCCCCGAUCAGGUAACAAGCAGCACUCGUCUAUUAUGGAAGGAAAGCACUAUCAUAUUUUGUGCACUGAUAUUCUUUUUAAAUGGAGAACAGGUCAAGCUUGCAGAGCUAUUAGAACAAGAAGGAGUUGACAUUAUACAAACUGAAGGAGGAAAGUGUUCUAAUCCUUCAAAAUCUGGUGUUCUAGGUUUGAUUGAGAAGGUAAUGCAAAACAAUCUUGCACUAUUUAUGGAACUUUUUGAUCAUAGAAUAAUUGCGGAGUAGGAAAGGAAAAUAGGAAAGUUUGGGUUUCUUAAGCAACUUAAUCAAUUUCUGGACCAAGCUAAUUUGAAAGAAAAAACCAAGAAGGAUAGGGAAAUGACUCAUAAAAAGAGAACAAAACAUUGGAUCAAAGAGGGGAAUUAAGCCCUGAUGUUCUACAUGAAAAAUAGACAUUUGGUAAAAAAACUCAUUUUUGGUUGUUAAAAAUUGCAGCUCAUCCUUCCUUCCUCAUUUUUGCUGUGAUCAUGUCCUAAAUUACUUUCGAAAUGUUUGAGUUGCCAUUCUAAUUAUCUGGUAAUACCUUAAUGUAUAUUUGACACAUCUGAUUAUGAGUUGAAACUGCUGAUGUUGAAAAAUAUUAAUGCAUUCAGAAUACAGAAGUUUCGUUAUUUAAGUGUGAGUUUUUAAUUAAUUAUUCAUAAAAAAGCUAGUUUUGAUUGUGUAUUUGUGAUAUUUCUUUUUUUCUUUUUCUAUUUAAACUUACCAGUUCGCAUUUCACUGUAGGCAACACCAAGCUUAGCAGCAGCAUAUUCCAUCUCAAGGGCUGUGAAGAUUCCAGUUAUGUGUUCAUCUGGACUUAGUGCAGUUACAGCACCAAUGGCCAUCACAGCAGGGGCAGCUGGUGUGGUAUGAAAAUUAAUUAACUUUCAUGAAUUUGAUCAUUCACAACUCUACAAAGUUGUGCUACAUAGAAUCAUUUCCUGUAGAAAAGCCAGCUGCUGUAACGCUGCAAUCAGGGCUGUGCAUGCACUCCAUACAUCUAUGGGGCAAACCAAGCACGAUGUGCUUGCUCGUUCCCAAUUGCUGCAGCACGCAGGCACCACUGCAGUUAACAAAUUCUUUACUCCUGAGAAUAAUGCUGACAUUAGCAUCACCUUUGAAACAGGGAGUCGGCUCAGCAAUUAACAGGCUAAAUGAUGUGGUGGCAAUGAUUGCAGAAGUCAGAAGCAUUGCAGAUUCAUUAGGCAGUUCAGCUGAUAGACGCACCAAAUCUGAAGAAAAAUCUGUGACAUUGUAAUUAGUACAUGUCCUGUGACUUAGGAAGACACUAGUUGAUCAAGGAAAGCACGAGCAGAAUAUCAAAAGUUCCAGCGAUUAAACAGAUGCGAGUAUAAUAAAACAACGUAGAAUUCCCGCAUCUAUAAGUUAAGGAGCAUUCAAGACUAUGAGAUAUGAUAGCAAUCAAGAAGAAAUUUGCAAGAUUUCAACCAUUCCUUCUUCUUUCUCUUCAAUCUCCUCUUUCUCACUCUUCACUUUCCAUAGCCAUCUCUCCUUUUCCUUUCCAAUUUCUCUUCAAUCUUGUGUUUUCUUCACAAAUCAUCAAGAAUUAUUCAUGGGUUUUUCGCUUGAAGAAGGAAUUUUGGAGAUUUUAUAGAGAAAAUAGAAAGUUUUCAUUUUUUUUUCCCUCGUGGCUGUUUAGCCGAUUAUUAUUUACAAAGGGAGAGAGUGAUGGAUUUUUUUUUUUUUUUCCUUUUAGCAUAGAUUUGUUAGUGGGCGACGAUCGAUUUAAUUUAUAUGUUUUUAAAUGAUUUAAUUAAUUUAAAUAAAUUAAAUUAAAUAGAUAACAUAGUUUAUUAAUUAUAUCUUUAUGUGAUUUCUAGAUAAUUUCUAGAUAAAUAGGGGACAACUAUUUAUCUAAAUAUAUCAUACAUAUUUCAUCUAUUUAAUUAUCUAAGGUAAUUAUGUAGAAUCUAAUUUUAUAGCAUUAAACAUAUUUGAUUCAUGAUAACCUUGAAUAGCUUAACAAGUUAUCUAUGAAUAGAAUUUUGAUCUUAUACAUAUAAAAUAGAAAGAUAAUAAUUCAUGUUCAUAACAUGUAUUUAAUAUAUCAAUGAGAGAUUUAUUAUUUUAAUUAAGUUUCAUUUCAUAACAUUAAUGAUAUAUCAUAUAUAUCAAUUAUACAUAAACAUACAUCCCUUGUAUGUCAUUCUAAACUAAUUCCCUCGAGAUAUCAAAGGAAAUUAGAUGGUCAAAACCUAAUUCAAAGUCUUUUGCAAGUACCAUGGUUAUAGCCUUCACCACCAUUAUUUCUUCAUAUUGGUUUAAAAAAUAAUUUUCCUAUCUAAAUUCAUAUAUUUUUAAAUUACAUAACAUUUACAUAAUUGAAUAAGAAAACUGGAGUUACAUUUAAGAGGAAUUAGAUAAGAAAAGAAUUUUACAACUCGGGAGAAAAAUAAAGAAAAGGUAGGACAUGCAAACCCUAUUUAUUAUUAUAAUCAUUCAACUAUAAAAACAUAAUCAUAUUGGUCUUUAAUGUUCAUAAUCAUCCAUCAUGCAUAAUAAAAUUUUAAUAUGCAUAAUAAAAUUAUUGCAUGUUUCAAUUCUAAUUAUUGCCUUUAUGUGUAAUUUUUUAAAUAAUAUUUCUAUCAUUUAUAAAUAUUAAAUAAAAUCCAAUUUGAUAAUUUCUCAAACAUAAUAAAAAAAUUUUAAUAUAAAUUAUAUUGGAAAAAAUAAUAAAAAAAUUAAUCAUAUCAAAAUUCUUAUUAAAAUCCUGAAUUAUUUUAGGAUCAAAUAAAUAAAACUUUAUGGCUUAAAAACUCUUUAUUUGAGAAAAAUAUAAACAUUAUUUAAUUAAACAUUUUAAUUAAAUCCUAAUCUAAUUAGAAUGUUACAAAACACAAAAAAAAAUUGAAUUAAAAUUUUAAUUAAAUCUUAAUCCUAUUAGAAAAAUUAAUUCUUUAAUUAAUUUGAUUUUGAUUUGAGUUUUAAUCUUAAAAUAUAAAAUUAAUAUUUUAUAUAAGGAAGAAUAGAAUUAUAAUUCUAUCACAAAAGUCAAAAUAAAUUACACUCUCAAAACCAAGGUUGUCAAUUCCGUUUCGGUAGGUAUUUUGUUUUUCAAUUGGAAUGAAAUGUUUCAGUUUUUGUUUUUCAAUUGGAAUGAAAUGUUUCAGUUUUGGAGUGUUUCGGCGUGCCGUUUCGGGGUUGUACUGUUCACACACACACACACACACACACACACAUAUAUAUAUAUUCAAUAAACAUAAUUCAAAUUCAAGAUAAAUUAAUUAUAAAUUAUACAAUACAAACACAAUGCCAAACAAAUAUAAUUUUAAAAUUUAAAAUAUUUCUAAAUAGUCAAGAUUAAAUAGAUUUUUAACUUAAAGUAAUUCAACUUAAACAAAAUAUCAAAAUAUUAUGAAAGUAAAAUGUUUUAACACAAAUAUUUUAAAUAUAAAGUUAGGUCAAUGUUAUCAAGGCUAAUGGAAUUUAAAGCAUCCAUUGUUUUGCUCAAAUUUCUACAAAGUAUAAACAUGAAAAAAACAACAUGAAUAUAAACCAUAUAUAUUAGUGAUAAAUCUAAUUUUAAAAAAUUAAUAUCAUUGUUAAUGAAAAUAGUAAUAAUAAUUUUCAAUAUUAUUAUUAAUGUCAUUGUUAUUGAAAAUAGUAAUGAAAAAGAGCUUUUUAUAAUUGGGUGGUUUAAUUAAUUAAAUUGAACAAGGUUCAAUUUGAUUCAAUGGCUUUUCAAGAGCGGAAAGGAACAUGUGGAAUGAAACUAGAACGUUCCGGGCGGAAUUUAGCCGAAAAAUCCGGAACGGACCGAGAUUUAAAAUGAGAUGAAAUUUGUUCCGUUUUGUUUUGUUUUUUGAAUUGGUAUGGAAUGUUUCGGUCAUUUCAGGCGAAACAGAACGGAAUUGACAACCUUGCUCAAAACCCUUUUAUAAUAAAUUGCAAGUGUCAGUGGUAUAAUAGUAAUUAUACCCCCAAAACCCUAAAAAGCACCGAGGACAGAAUCAUAAUCCUGCCCUUCUCCCUUCUUCUUCUCUUUGCUACUAUAGCCAUAUCAACGACAAUUAUGGCUACCGUUAGGCUACUGUCCAAGAGCGAUUAUGGCGUUCGAGGCUUCGCCAUGCAACACCCAUGGCACUAAGUGUUUGGCGCUGCUCACGGUAGUACCCAUGGCAUCAGGCAUUGCGUGCAGCAACGCCCACAAGGCGCCUAAUGCUACUCACAGCAACACCAAUAGCAGAUCUCCUUUUUGGUUUUCUACAAAAUUCUGGCCAGAUUAAAAAAAAUUCGGUCAAAUCUAGCUGGAAUAAUAGACUUUCAUUUUUUUUUUGAAAAAAUGAGGACAAAAAAAUUAAUUUUGGGAAAAUAGUUUUCACAUAAAAUUAAUUUCAAAUUAACACUAAUAACAAUUAAAACAAGCAAUCAAUAACCCUAAUUAGCUAACGAUGGCUCUGCUACCACCGUUGGAUUUCCCAAAACAUAUAGACGUAGUGAAAAAAUAAACUCAAAAUUUUUUAGGAGUCUUAAGGAUCCUGUUAGAAAGAUUACUUGAAGAUCAAGUAUUGUUUUUAACUUUGAAUAUUUGCUUCAAAGGUAAGGUUGUUGUAAACCAUGAGACAUCUAAUUAUAUGGCCUCUAACAGUAAUUCAUAUGAAUCACUAGUGAGAAAUCUCAUAAAUCCUUUUAGGAGAGAGGGAUUGCUAUAUCUUAUAGCGCUAACUCUUUUCUUUUGUGUUUUAAGCAUUACAGUAUUGUACUUUACUCACUUUUUUCACCAUUCAUUGAAAAUAAGAGGCACAACUUUUUAUUUAUAAAGAGACUUAAAAACCCUACAAAAUAUCAAUUUGUCCUUUAAAUGAUAUCAUAUAUAUUAUUUUAAGUUAAUUUUAAAAUUUUAUUUAAUUAAGUUCCUAUUUGAUUUUUCUAGAUUUAAAAAUAUAAUUCACUUUAUAAAUUACACUCUAGUAAUUUGCUUAACAAUUUUAUGUUAUAACUCAAGUGAUGGUGUGCUUUGCUUAAGUCAAGUUCAUGGGUUUAGAGUAUGGAUUGAUACAUAGUUUAAAAAUUGUCUUUUUUAAUAAAAAAAAAGGACUGAUGAUAAAAAAAAAAAAAAGGAAGCCCGGUACACAGAUUUUCUUUAUGCCUACGUGCUUAGACUUUUUAAACAAGCUCUGGCUUGAUAUUGUGACAAUUCAGGCUAAAGAACUUGGUUCACUUUCAUAUUACUAUUUGAUUGAUCAAAAGAGGAAUUUUGUAUAUGUAAGUUUUCAAUGCAACAAAUAUUGAUAAGCAAAAUUAACAAUAAUAGUAUAACUAAAUCACUCUUACACUAUUUUUUUUUCAAUUUUAUCCUUUAAUGUUUAGUUUUUAUUGAAUUUUAUCAUUUAAUAUUGGAUUUAUUGUGAAUUGAUUUUUGUAUUUUUAUCAUAUAAUAAACUAAAAAAUUAAUUCAUUUUUUUCUUUUGCAUGACAAGGUCAUGUCAGAGCAAUUUCCACACGAUUUAAUUUAAAAUCUGGGCUAAGUACAUAAUCGAAUAAACAAAUUUCAAGUUUGAAUUGUUAUACCGAGUUUAUUGAUAAUGUCAAAAAAAUUCCCGAUGCUCUAAAUAUUAUUUUUUUUACAUUCCAAAUUUUUUAGGGUCCAAAUAGUAGCGAUAACAUGAUUAAUAACCUAAUAAAUAAACUAAAUUGAAAGUGUGUUUUGUUAUUUUAGUUAUUUUAGUGUUAGACUCAACAACACUAGUCUUUCUUUUUCUCUCAACUUAGGUCAUAAAAAAGCAUUGUAUAGUUUAGAAGUUUUUACUUUUUUUCAUUUUUAAUACCUACUUUUAGAAAGUUUCAAAUUGUAGUAUGAAACUUUAACCUUUUUUUGUGUUUCAAUCCAUGAAAUGUUAUGGAAGAGAGAGACUCGUUAAAAAAUAGCAAAGGAAAGAGAAAAUUAUUGAUUGACUACAUUUUGACCACCAUAAAGACCAAUAUUUGUGUUAAUAGGCUUUUUCUUGACAAUAGCAGCUCUUGACAAUAUUAAUGUCACUUGAAAAAUUAGAUUGAGGCUUGAAAAAAAUUUAUUUAGUUCAGUUUAAUUUUAAAUUUUUGAACAAAUGUAAAGGUGUUUGAAAUUAAAAAUGGGUUUAUUGAAGUUCUUAGGUUGCAUUUUAGUGUUUUUAGGCAAAAAGAUGGUUGAAAAUGAGAUUUUUAAGUCAAAAAACAUGAACCUCAACUUUCCACUCUAAAAGUGAUUUCUAGUGGCUCAAAAGUAAAUCGGCAAAUAACACUUCAUCAAUUAUUUAAAAGAAUAAACAGGCGGAUGAAGUGUCGUACCCUCUAAAAAAUAAAAUUAAACCAAUUAGGCGUAUAGGCCUCAACUUCAAGACUCAUACACGCCUAACUUGUUUUUCAAGGGCCAUAAAUGCCUAGGAUGGAAUACUAGACCCAAACAUAGUUUAUCAUUUUCUAGUUAUCAUUUUUUCUCUUUUUUUAAGGAUUUGUACCCAAACAAAUCUCUUUAAAUCAAUUUACUAAAUACUAUUUAAGUGAUUAUCUAAUUAUUUCAUUGUUUUUAAGAAAAUCAGGGCUAUUUAUGAUGAUAUUAUCGAUUGUUUUAUGGAUAAUUAUAUAUCAGCCUAAUAUGCAGAAUUUUUUAAAUAUUGGCUUGUUAAUAUUUAUUGAGAACAAAAUGUCUAUUUUUUAUUGUAUUUUUUAUAUAAUUUUCUCGAACUUAUUGUCCUCAAAUCUCUUCAUAUAAGUGUACAAAAAUAAUUGAUUAAUAAUUUGCUUAUUAAUAUUUUUUAAUUGAAACUUGUUUUCACAAUCAUAAUAAGUUUUUACUUAGAAAAUAAUAUUGCUCAUAAAAAAUUAUUUUCUCUCAAAAUAAAAAGAACCGAAAGAAUAAGAAGAUUAGGUUUUAGAUUAAAAAUACACUUUUUUUUCCUUUUUAAUUCAAAUCAUUAUAGUUUUUACGAUUUUUUUAUAUUGUUUUUCUCCUCCAUAAUUUUAUUUUUUGUUUUUCUUAUAAAUAUCUAUUUUUAUUAUAGUAUAAUUAAAUAAAUAAAUGAAUUUAAAAAAAAAGUUAUAAAACUCGAUCAGACCCAUAACCUAGGUCACGAGUUAGGCAGGUUAAUCUGUGUCAAUCAAAAUCGUCAUUAUUUCAGUAUCUUUUUAAAUGUUAAAGUGAUGUCAUUUUGAAAAAGAAAAUUAAAAAGUGAAAUAGAGUUAUGACUAGUUCAACCAAGGUAUGAGUGGACCCAUCAAAUCGAUCGGGUCAUAACAAGUCAUUUCUCAUUUGGUUUAAUUUGAAAACUAGCUCAAGCUAGGGGCUAAAUCGAUGAGUUAACAAGAUGAUUCAUAGAGACAUAUCAAGUUUAAUAACAGUGUGAAUAUAUUUCUAGCUUCUGCACACGGACAACUAGCUGGUUGAUGCCAAAAAUAAACCCAAUACAAACUCUUUCUCAUUUUUAAGCGUUCUUAUAUGUUGCUAAAACCAUUUUAACCAAAAAAUAGAGGAAAAAAAUAUAUAUACAAGGGUAUACAUAUGAAGCAAGCCUAAAAAGGAUUGUCUAAGUUUGUUGGUGAAAGACUGGAAUGCCAACUAAGAGUUGAUAGACUAAAAUGUCCAAAUUAGUAGUCGACUUAACCUUUCGAAGAUUGUGUGAGAUUGAUGGGUGAACCCUUUGACGGUGUCAUGGAACCCAAAAUUUUGAUUGACAAAGGAACCCACUAGUGAAAAUGCUUUAUUUAGGUGUUUUGGAAGGUUUAAUUAAAUUUAUAGAGGGCUUAAUCACAAGGGAAAUAAACUUUUAGGAGUCAAUUCGGAUGUUAAUUGAAACAAAUCAAGUUUGAGGAUUGAAAUUGAAAUUUGAAAAGUUUAAUUGGUGAAAUCAAGGGCUUAAUGCAUAAAUUUCAAAGUUUGGUGAGCAAUUAAGGACUUAAAUGAACAAUCCAUGAACUAAGGACCAACUUGCAAAACACGCGUAAUUUCAGGGGUCAAAUCAAAGAAAAUUGGAAGUUUGAUGGUCAUCUAGGGGUCCAAUUGAACAAAUCAGAGACCAAGGAUCUAUUUAUAAAAGGUGUUUAAAUUUGGAGCUGACAAUUGAAUAUGGCAGAGACGCAAUUGCAUGAAAUUAAGAAUUUAGAGGGAAAUUACAGGUAAAAUCAAAUGAAAUUGGAAGAAUAGGGAUCAAAUUGCAAAUUUCCAGAUCCUAAAUAAAUAAAUAAACCCUAAUGUAGGGAUUAGCUAAAACAACACCAUUCAAGAUACUAUACAUCUUCUUCUUUAGUUUUUGGUUGAUCAGGUAAGCAUUUUAAGGCAAAUGAAUAUGAUGUUUUUUACCACUGCAGAGCAACAACCACCACCAUUCAACUGAGAAACACCCUCUCUAUAACCCCAUGUCUUUAAAUUCAAAUGUUUAUAUCCCAUAUUUUUCUUUGAUCUCCAUAACAUCUUGUUCCUAGUCAACCAACACUAUAGUUUCAGUUGUCAUAUUGUUUGAGUAGACAUUUUCAAACGUUUGAAUGUGGAGCUACAGACCUCUAAAUAAGCAAUAAUGGAUCCGAUCGAAAGGUGUGCACCCCCUAUACCAAGAUCAGGUGGUCUCAAGCAACAUUGACGUUAGAGUUGUUCUAGCGAAGCCACAAAAAUAACCAACCUAGUUAGCCUUGUCUGGAUAUUCAUUUGCAGAAGACCACCUAACUUUUUCAUGUUCUCCCACUUAAAAACCCCUUAGAAGGUUCCCAUCAAGGUUUUAAAACCUUUCUUUAUAUAUCUAAAGGCCAAAAACACCUCACCUUGGUCUCCAAGUUUCUUACAAAACCACCUAAAAAGAGAGGUAUCUAGGAGCAUAAGGAAAAAAAAAAGGAGAGGCAGGAGAGAGAAGAAAAAAUAAACUUUAGCUAAGGUGCAAGUUAUUCAAUACAGGAGGAUUUGAAAGCUUCAGCUCUGUCUAAUGAAGUUUGAAAAUAAAGAAGAAGGAAUGCAAUAUCAAGAAUCACUUCAUAUUUGAAAAAUUUUAAGCUAAAAAGGUAUAUACAUUCAAACCUUGAAAAUGGAGUCUAUGAGACCUGUUGGAAUGAUUUAUUGUGUUUAAUGUGAAGUUUUGAAUGUUUUAACAUGUUAUUAAUUGACUUUAUACAUUACAUUGCAUGGUGUUUUGAUUUAAUAAAUGCCAAAAGUGGUAGCAAAGAGGGAGGGUUACUUUUUGUUAAUGAAAAGAUAGUCUCAGGUUCUGGAUUACUGGUUUGGUCUUUUGAAAUGACAAAAGUUGGAUUUUGAAGGUCAUUUUGUUCAUGCAUGCCUUAUGUUUUUGAAUUAUUAGUUUUGGGGAUUGAAAAUCAAUGUAUUUUAUGAGUUUCUUGCUUUUUUAUUGUUUCUUUGGUCCUAAUUAUAUUCAUCAUUGAUAAUGUGGUAUGUGAGAAUAAGGAAAACAUGUUUUAGAGGCUCAAAAUGGUCUUUCUAGGUUUGUUUUGUCAUUCCAGGCAUUCUAGUUUGGCUUUUCUGGGUUUUGACAUAUUCAUCUGUUAAAUCUUGCUUUAGGUAUUAGUUUUAGAGCUCGUUUGGUUUAAAUUCUAGUUCAUGCAAGUUCGUUUUAUCACUAUUAGUAAGUAAUCUAGGAGUUUCAUGCAUCAAUAACAUGUUUUAAUCCUAGAGUUUUCGUUUUGAACCGAAACUCAUUUUGACAAAAUCGUGUUGCUAUGUUGACCAUCGAGGCAAACGACCCCUAAUUCUUGUUCUAUGCAUUAUUUCAAACAAGAUCAUGCCCUUCUUUGUUCGAGAUCUAGUCUAAAUUGAGGUUUGAAUUUACGAAAUGACAAUGAAUGUUCUUCAUUUUUUUUGUCUUAUGUGCAUUUGAUCUGUUUUGACUGAAAGAUUUUUAAGUUUUUAUGUUUUUGUGAAGUUUGAUCUAUUUUAGUUUUGGUUUGUUUUUAUGUCAACUCGGUCUAGUCAACCCAAUCGAGUCAGCUGCUUCUAGGUCCACCUGAUCAAGUCAACUCAGCCAGGUCGACCUGGCCAGGUAAAAAAAAAGAAAAAAAAUCAAAUUUGUCUUUAGGCUUUGUUUGGAUAGUUUUUAUUGAUUUUUUGGUUUAAGGAUGUGUUUGGUAAGACCUUUUUAAUUUUUUUGGUUAGUUUUUAUUCCAAGAAGUCUACAAAUAUACAAAAAAAAAAGGUUUUUUUUGUGUGUUGCAUACAGCUAAGUCUCUCAAAAUUAAAAAAAAAAUCUUCUUAAAAAAAAUAAAAUAUAUAAUAUGUUAUAUUUUUUUAACAUGCAUCUUGGAUUUAAUAAUCAAUUCAAUAAAUCCAUGAUAAUUUUGUUAAUAUUCCAAUAAUCACCAAUUUUUUAAUUCAUGAGGAUUAAUAGUUGAAUAUUAUGGUAUAAAUGCUAGACCUCCAAGCAAGGUUGAUAUUAAAAUAUUAGGAAGUAACCAGAAAAUUCUCAUAGUUAUGGAAAUUAUAGAAAAUCUUUUUCAUAAGAAUUUAUUUAGGUAUACGAGUCCAUAAUAAAUUCUUAACAUUAGAUUUAUUCACACGAAUAAAUCUCAAUCCUAAGCCACAGAUAGACCACUGAUUAGAAAACCAUAAAAAUCUCUAAACCACUUAAAACCAUACAAAACAACUUACUUCAGGUAGAGUGCGUUAGGGGUGUUAAUAUAUUUUUUAGCCACAACUAGUACAUUAUCUUUCGAACCUUUAAUAAAACUAGUAUUCAUGAGUUUCUUAACGAUUCUGAACCAAACAACUAGACUACGACUAAUUCAAAUGUUCGAACACCUCUCGCACAGAUGCGACAUUAUCCAUGGCAAAUUAAAGCACACAAUGCUUUCUGUCUUUGCCGUCCGUCCUAUAGUCUUGAUUGAUUCAACUCAAUCACAUAGACAAUCGGACGGUGCCCCAUGUGAGAAAAAUAAAGUGGAAACGCCCAAGAAUGGUCCUUGAAAGGUCUACACUGAACGAGGGAAAAGACAGCCCUUGCAGUGUUCAACUUUGAGUGUUGAAUGUGGUCCUUCAACUGCUCAACGUGGCUGUCUGUUCAUGCCCGGGAUAAGAGGCAAAUGUUUUGGGACACAGAGAUGGAUUAUGAGUGUGUCUCAGCCAAGACAAAUCAACCAUGUACACUGGGUUCUUUUUCAUGCCUCAACAUUAUCCUCACUGGAUUUGAAUAUUAGCCACAUGAAAUAUGCUUCAUUUCCAGGAUAAGAUAAGAACUAUAGAGAGAGUUUGAAUCCUCGAACUUGAACCAAAUGAUACUAACUGAUGAGACCCAGAAUGACUUUAGCUCAGCUCCCUAUAUUCAAAUCCAAAUCAAAGCAAGCCUGCACGACCUGCACGAAUCAUAGUCUGACUAGUCCAUCUCUAGCUCAAAUGCUCGGUAAGUGGCCUUUCGCCAUCAUCAGUCAAGCCACAAUCUGGAACGCGAAUAUCUUGAUUUUGUUUAUACAAUAUGAUGUAGCAUUGGCUACAUGGAACCACAAAGGACUCCACUUGCACUCGUAUCUGGUAAUUUUUCCACCUCCCGCAUGGGACAAGCUUGUCCCAUCUAAUUCUAUCCUGUCCAUUACAGUGAUGUGCAAUCCUAUCUACUCGUUUACACACCCUAAUUGCUCAAGUAAGUUGACAAAUAAUGACGAGAAAAAUCUUGAUUGACUACGGAGCUGGUUGCCUUUCUGCAAUCUCCCUUGCUUGUUCAAUCAAAAGCUAAUGCUAAAAUCUUUGAAUCAAGUAAUCUCGGAUUAUCUAUCCCCAUCUUGAGAGUUAGUUAGAAUGGCUUUCUUGCAGCCAAACUAGCACAAAAGUAAAAUUUUGAUUCAACUCCUAGCAAAAUUCAAACUACAAACCAUAAUAGCAAGAACAAAAAUGUCCUUGGAAUGAAGUUCAACUGUUCAACAGACAGCUUUUUCAACAUGCUCUCUCAUUUUUCCCUCUUUGUAUUAGUCUUCUGAUCAAUCUAGAUUAACAAUCUAUGGGGCAGAUUUCGUCAAGCCGUUGCAAAAUAAAUCUCCUGGCCGUUAAAUAGGACCCUUCUUUUCUGAAGAGGCAAGAAGAUUUGGCAAGUUUCACGUUAGCAUCGUUGAUUGCUCAAUUCUAGCCCAAUCAGACAAGUGAAUCUCUUUCUCCUAAGCAAGUAUCUAGGAAGUUUCAAGGAUUACCUUUUCUGUCAAACACAUCAACUAACAGAUGGCAUCAACAGGCUGCUUCUUGUUAAGCCUAGAAAAGUGAAAAACUGGAAGCCAUCGUUCACAACAAAAACCAUAUCUUUAUGAUAUCUCAUUUAUCCACGAAAGGUGUGGCAUAUAUCGCAUUAAGGACCUACCAGGUUUUUAUCUCCUGAAACUGUCCUGUGAACAUCAGCCCUUGGCAAUCAAUACCAAAAGUCUAGUGGCGGCACAAACUGGUAAAUUUAACUUCAUUUUAUCUCUUUGAUUACGACUUAUGCUUUAAUUUCGGCCUAAAUAUUUGAGCUAUAAAGCUAACCCAUAGCACGAGUUCAUCCUCAUCCACAGCCUCCUUACAACAAACACUUCCUCCUUUUUUGGAGUCCUGAAACUCCCAAAUAUUUGAAAAGAAUGGCAAAUUCACGCAUAGCAAAGUUCAUCACAGAGGCUGCACCACCACAAUAUAUUAGUGUCAUGAGGCACAGAACAUCGAAGAUGCUGGAUACAAUUAGUGAAGAGGACAGAGAUGUAGCCGCAAGUGAUCCUUUUCCCAUGGCACCAACUUCUUCCACCAUUGUUACUACCAGUGCUACGUCUGUUGCUGCUAAAAAUUCAACGUACUUUUUCAAGGGGAUUCGAAGGUCUUUUUCAUUGUUUGCAAACUGAGAACUCUGUUUAGCACUUUUUCCAACUUGUUCAAAAACUUUUUUUAUUCCUCCCUUGUUUGUUUUCCACUUAAUGAAGUUAGGAAAGGAAUUGCUAUGUUGUACAAUAAAUGCUAAGUUAGUAAAUUGUAUUAUACAGCAGAAUGACAUGGGAGUAUUGUAAUUUCCAAGUUGAACAAAGUUGAAGAUUUUCAGUCGUCCUCAUAAUGCUAAGUUCCAUGUUUGAUAUAUUUAGUAGCUUUUUUUCUUGCAUCUGUUAAGAAAAUAUUUAGCUUUUCUACUGGGAUUAUGUGUAUUGCAAAGGAUGAGAUAUCCAGGAGAGGAUUCACUUCUAAGAGACAACAACAGACUAUUUUUUUCUAGGUAUAAUUUAUUAUAGUGCUUGUAUAAUCCUGAUCAUUGAACUAACAUCUUAAUGUUGAAGAAAUUGAGAUCAGAGACAAAUUGCUAGAAAAUUUAAUUUGAAAAACAUAGUGAAUUAGCGC
RNAcentral lists this long non-coding RNA (79480 nucleotides) under Populus trichocarpa (black cottonwood). RNAcentral describes it as "long non-coding RNA (PTRI_LNC002731)". The record is from RNAcentral. Lineage: Eukaryota; Viridiplantae; Streptophyta; Magnoliopsida; Malpighiales; Salicaceae.